RNAcentral lists this long non-coding RNA (50355 nucleotides) under Brachypodium distachyon (stiff brome). RNAcentral's name for it is "long non-coding RNA (BDIS_LNC005672)". The stretch from base 29608 to 29701 matches the Rfam family "MIR1120/MIR1122 microRNA precursor family". Lineage: Eukaryota; Viridiplantae; Streptophyta; Magnoliopsida; Poales; Poaceae. The record is from RNAcentral.
CGGCUAGGGGUCUAAAGCCUAAAAGCUAGCCCUGGGCUGCCACUGUUUGCUCGACUAGAUGGAUAACGCCCCUCCUGUCGUCUCAUUAAAUGCGCCGUGCGCCUCACUCCUUGUCCUGACGAAACUGCACACUGGGCGCUUGCCGCGCGCCCACGUGGCGCUGCUGUUCUGCUCCCUCGGCCUCGCCCUCGCGGCGGGAACCUGUCCUCGGGAACGCCCCCUCCCGGCAAGGACCUUCCCGGGAGGUGCCAAGGCGGGAUUUUUCCCCGAAGCCCCGCUAGCCUGCCGAGCUGGUAGCUUGCCGGGCAGCCUGCACGUUGCCGCCCGGGGUGAGAUCCUUCCGGAAACCCAGCAUAGUGGCCCAUGCGUCGUGCAGCGGUGGCACCCCGGGUGCCACUGGUGCGACACCGUUGCUCCUCGGAUGAGCGACAGAGGCGAAGUGAAUUUUAGUGCCCAUGUCCUCGCAGUAAGCUUGGAGACCGCACUAGUGAAUUGAGUGCCAUUAUUGGUGAUGAUGCCGUUAGGCACACCUAACCGGCACACAAUGCCCUUGAAAAACUUGAUGGCCGCCUGCGCUUUGAUAGCUCGGACAGGCUCCACCUCGACACACUUCGAGAACUUGUCGAUGGAACCAUGGAGGUACUUGUAGCCGCCAACAGCUCUCGGCAACAUUCCAACGAUGUCCAGCUCCCAGACCGCGAACGACCAUGAGGUCGAGAUGACUUGCAGGGCUUGCGCUGGUUGGUUGCUCUUCUUGGCAUGAAACUGGCAUGCUUCACAGGUCUUGACUAGUUGCUUGGCAUCGGCUAAAGCUGUUGGCUAGUAAAAGCGUGCCGGAAUGCUUUCCCGGCUAGUGCCCUGGAGGCCACAUGGUGCGAACAUGUGCCUCGAUGGAUAUCCUCCAGCAGCGUGCACCCUUCCUCCUGGGGCACGCAGAGAAGCAUAACUCCGUUAGGACGCCUCCGGUAGAGAUCCCCAUCUACCAGAGCGUACAUCUUGGCUUGCCGAGCAACUCGCUCCGCGGCAAUGUCUUUCUCUGGGAGGGUUCCGCCUCUGAGGUAAGAACAAUAUCCGCCGCCCAGGGUGGCGGUUCCCGGCUUAAGCAUGCCACGAGCUCGGUGACAUGGUACCCCGCAGUUGCGGGUUCUCCUUCGGUUGCCGGAGGGGCUUCCCUGGCAACCGUCUUGGGAUUGACAGAGGGCUUUAGCUGCCUCUGUACGAAUACCACAGGAGGCACCUUGCUGCGUUCCGCUGCCCACUUGGACAGUUCAUCCGCAACAAAGUUGUCCUUGUGCUUCACGUGUUCAAACCAAAGUCCCUUGAACUUGGACUCCCGCUUUCGAACUUCCUCCACGUAUGCUGCCAUCUGGGGCAGUCAUAGUCCUUGUUCACCUGGUUUAUCACGAGUUGCGAAUCCCCGCGAACAACCAGGUGCUUGAUGUCGAGGGCGAUUGCCGCGCGUAGCCCGGCUAGCAGCCCCUCGUACUUUGCGGUGUUGUUGGUGGAGUUGGCAAAGUCGAGCUAUAUCACGAAUUUGAGUUGAUCUCCAGUGGGCGACUCGAUCACCACUCUGGCACUGGCGCCCUAUAGACAGAAGGCGCCGUCGAUGUACAUGACCCAAUACCCUUCAUCCAAUUUGCCGGGAAGGCUCGCUUCUGGCUCUUCUUCCUCUAUCCCCGUGGACGUCCACUCCGCGACAAAGUUGGCGAGAGCGGUGCUUUUGAUGCUUUUGGUAUUCGUGAAACACAGCCCGAACUCUGCCAGCUCCAUUUUCCAUUCGGCCACCCUCUCGGUGGCUUCAUGGUUGAUGAGGGCUCGCUCUAGGCAGAAUGCCGACACCACCGUGAUGUUGUGCGCCUGAAAGUAAUGGCGCAGCUUCCGUGAAGCGAGCAGGAUCCCAAGCAAAAGCUUCUGGACCUGUGGGUACCGUACCCGAGCAUCGCGCAACACCGUGCUGACAAAAUACACAGGGUGCUGUACUAGCCGCUUGCGGAGGGCAGCCUGAGUGGACGGCCCCUCGGCUCCCGGGGCAGAGGCGGUAGCUGAGGGUUCCCCUGGAUCACCGGGAGCCCCCGGCCCUCCUGUCGCAGCCCCCAGGACUUGCUCUUCCCUCUCGGCAACGAGCACAGAGCUCACUACCUAGUCUUUUGCUGCCAAGUAAAGCAGCAUAUUGCUCGCCCAGCUUGGGGGUGACGAGGAUCGGCGGCGACUUCAGUUAUUGCUUCAAAUCCUGGAACGCCACCUCCGCCUCAGGGGUCCAAUUGAUUGUGCCCUUCUUCUUCAUCACCUUGAAGAAAGGCAGGGCUCGCUCGCCCAACCUUGAGAUCAAUCGCCCAAGCACCGCAAUGCAAACGUUGAGGCGCUGGACAUCUCUUACCUUGCGGGGUGCCUCCAUCUUCUCGAUUGCCUCGAUCUUCUAUGGAUUGGCUUCGAUUCCCUAGUGAGACACCAAGAAGCCCAGCAAAUGCCCCGAGUCCACGCCGAACGUGCACUUCUCGGGGUUAAGCUUGAGCUUGAUCCUGCGGAGAUUAUCGAAUGUCUCCUGCAGGUCGCCAACGAGCGAGUCCUUGCGCCGCGACUUGACGACAAUAUCGUCCAUGUAGGCCUCGAUAUUCCGGCCUAACUGGGGUCCCAGACACUCGCGCAGAGCGCGCUGAAAUGUCGAGCCCGCGUUCUUCAGCCCGAAAGGCAUGCAUGUAUAACAGUAGCAGCCAACCGGGGUGAUAAACGCUGUUUUCUCCUCAUCUUCUACCGCCAUCUUAAUCUGAUGGUAGCCGAAGAAUGCAUCCAGAAAGCAUAAAGACUCACAACCUGCUGUGGAAUCUACUAUUUGAUCGAUCCGGGGUACAGGAAAGGGGUCCUUAGGACAUGCACGAUUAAGAUCAGUAAAAUCUACACACAUGCACAAUUUAUUCCUAGCCUUAGGGACUACAACAGGAUUUGCUAACCAAGUAGUGUACAACACUUGCCUGAUUGCCCGGCAUUCUUGAGCUUCUCCAUUUCUUGCUGGAUGAAGUCCUUGCGUUCCUGUGCUUGCCGGCGAACCUUCUGCUUGACGGGCCGCACGUUUGGCCACACCGCCAGCCGAUGCUCAAUCACCUCCCUGGGGACUCCGGGAAGAUCUGACGGCUCCCGAGCGAACACGUCAGAAUUCCCCCGAAGGAAGGCGAUGAGGGCGCUUCCUAUUUGUCGCCGAGGCUCGCACCAAUGGAAACGGUACGCGCCUCGCUGCCGGCAUGCAGGGGCACCUUCUUGACCUUGGCGCCCUCUUCCUUCAGCUUCAUGCCCUUGCUAACGCGCGGGCUGGAGCUGGUGCUGCCCUCGGCAUCCUGUCCGGGAGCGGCUCAUGCCUUCUUCUGUGCGGGCUGCUCGCCCGCAAGUGAAUCCUCGUUCCCGGCAACGUCGUAGUCGCCGGGAUCCGCAACUGCGGAGGCCUUUACGACCUCGCCCACGCACCAAGAAGCGUCCUUCAGGUCGCACUUGAUGGAGAGUACACCGUAUGUUGACGGCAUCUUCAUCACGCCAUAGGCGCAAUGAGUUGCCGCCAUGAACUUGAUUAGCGCCGUCCGACCAAUAAUCCCGUUGUACGGCAACGGGGUGUGAGCCACGUCGAAAAUGACGUACUCAGUCCGGAACGCUUCCCGAGACCCGAAAGUCACCGGGAGCGUGAUUUGCCCCAUGGGCUGAAACCACACCGGGGUUGAUCCCCCGGAACGGGUCGGUGGGCUUCAUCAGCUCCAGAGGCAGCUGAAGCUUCUCCACCCUCUUGGUGGACAGGAGGUUAAGGCUCGCCCCAUUGUUCACCAGAACCUUGGUCACCGUCACAUUGCUUAUGAUAGGUGACACCACGAGGGGCAGCACCCCUGAUCCCAAGGGACGAAUCGGAUGAUCGUCUGAGUUCAAGGUGAUCGGCACGUGCGACCACCUCAAUGGCUGUUCCGCCUCCACGCUAGAGAGGAGGGUGCAAACCUCACGAGUGAGCCGCUUCACGGCGGUGUGAGACGUGAGAGCGUAUGUUCCCCCGUGGAUGUAGGUGACGUCGAGGGGCUCCUAGAAGCCAGGCUCAUCGGCGGCGUCACUGCAGUCAUCCUCGCGCUGCUCGGGACGAGGCUUGUCGCGUCCCCGGGGAGGCCGGUCCUUGCCACCUCGGGCUUGACCGCGACCCCCCGCGGGUUCUCCUUUCUCGCCGCCGCUGGCUGCGACCCGGCCCGCUCCGUUGCGGGGGUUGUUCGGGCAAUCUCAGGAGAGGUGCCCGAUAUCCCCGUAGUUGAAGCAGGCCCCAGCAGCACGGCGCUCCUCAUGGCGCUGCUCGCACUUCUCCUUGAUGGUCUGGAGAGUGCAGCAGUCCUGCACGUCAUGGGUGGCGUUGGUGUGGAUGGGACAGCGCGCGCCCGCUGCUGGCUUGCUACCCGAUGCUCCCUCGGACGCCGCCUUCUUGGUGGGCCUCUGGGGAGCCCCCGGUUUCGCAGCAAGUACUUACUUCCCGCCGUGCUUCUCCACCAACUUGGUGGCAAGCUCAGGCGCUAGGUGCCCUUCCUCAGCCAUCGCGCACCUCGUGGUCCAGAUCCGGUGCGUGUUCAGUUUCUCACGCAUCUUCGGGUCACGGGCUAUGAUGGCGUAAGUGUUGAUGAUGGCGACCGCUUCCGCCUCUGGGAUGGAGUAGGAGUUGGAUGCGCUCCUCGCUCUGGCCGGCCAACAGCCGCAAGGCGAGGGCGUCCCGGUAGGCUCCGGCCGCCGGCCAAACCCGGAGCGCGGAGACGCGCCCCGCGCCUCGCUGCCGAGGGAAAACCCUCCCCCGCAGGGAGGCCAAGGAAAUGGGGACCCAGAAGGAUCCUCGGACUCGUCGCCCACCGUCGCGCAGGGUGACGCGCGUGGCAUUCUGAAUGCCCACCAGCAAGAGGAUCUGUGCCAGCGCUUGGAGCGCCGGCGUCGGCACGAGGUAGAGCGCCCGCGCCCGGAGGAGCAGGAGGAUGCUCCCAUGGGCCCGAAGGACGGCUGCAUCGCGUUCACGUGCGAGCUGCGCCGAGUGACAUGGCCCCGCAAGUUCCCCGCGCCAGCGCUCGGCACGUACGACAGGACCACGAACCCCAAGGAUUUCGUCUUGACCUACAUGUUGGGGAUGCAUGCCAUCACCGCCGACGACAAGGUCAGGGCCAACUGGUUCCCGAUGGUCCUGAAAGGAUCAGCGAGAACCUGGCUGCUCAACUUGCCCGCCGGGUACAUCGCCACUUGGGCGGACCUGCGCGAGCAGUUGGUGAGCACGUUCCAGGGCGGCUACAAGCGCCCGGGAACCAUGGCGGAACUGCACACCAUUGUGCAGAAGCCAGAAGAGACGUUGCGGAGCUUCGUCAACCGCUUCUCGAACCUCUCCUACUCUAUCCCGAAGGCGGAGGCAGCUGCCAUCGUCAACACCUUCGCCAUCAACGUCCGCGAACCCAAGAUGCGCGAGAAGCUGAGCACGCAUCGGAUCCGGACAACGCAGGAUCUAUAUGCCCUGGCACACAAGUGCGCCAUGGCCGAGGAAGGGCGCUUAGCGCCCGAGCAAGCAGCCAAGGCUGCGACGAGCCCUGGCGAGGGUUCGCAGAAGAAGGGUUCCCGCAAGCGCAGCGGGAAGCAGGGUCUCGCUGCGGACUCGGGGGCUCCUAUCGCGAGGCCUGCCAAGAAGGCCUCGCCGGGUGGCAGGUGUGGUCGCAAGCAGGGUGACGCGCCCCGCUGCCCCAUCCACAACAACUCCACCCACGACGCGCAGGACUGGUGCAUCCUGCAGGGAAUCAAGCAGCGGUGGGAGCAGCGAUAGGAGGAGCGCCGCACUGCUGGCGCCUGCUUCAACUACGGAGACAUCGGGCAUCUCUCCCCAGAUUGCCCGAACGACCCCAGAGCAGGGCCGAGGCCUGCCGGCGGCGGCGCCGGCAGGGACGAACCCCAGGGGGGACGCAGCCAGGCCCGCGCGGGCAGGGAGCGCCCUCCCCGGGAACGCGACAGGGCUCGCGCUGAGGAGCAGCGCGAGUCCGAUUGAGCUGGCGGCGACGAGCCAGGCUUCCAGGAGCCUCGCGGCAUCGCCUGCAUCCAUGGGGGAGCCUAUGCUCUCCCAUCCCAUGCCGCGGUGAAGCGCCUCACCCGGGAUUUGUGCGCGCUACUGCCGGACGCGGAGCCGCAGCAGCCGUUGAGGUGGUCGCACGUGCCGAUCAUCUUCAGCGCUGAUGAUCACCCCGCGCGGCAGCUGGGUUCAGGGGUAAUAUCCUUCGUCGUCUCACCGAUCAUCAGCAGCAUGAUGGUGACAAAGGUGCUGGUGGACAACAGAGCGGGGCUUAACCUCCUGUCCGGCAGGCUGGUGGAGAAACUGCAGUUGCCGGUGGAGCAGCUGAAGCCCACCGACCCGUUCCGGGGGGUUAACCCCGGGAUCGUGCGCCGUUUGGGGCGCAUCACGCUGCCGGUAACCUCUGGGUCCCGGGAAGCGUUCUGGACCGAACACAUAGUGUUCGACAUGGCGCACACCUUGUUGCCCUACAACGGGAUCCUUUGUCGGCCAGCGCUGAUCAAGUUCAUGGCAGCUACGCAUUGCGUCUAUGGUGUGAUGAAGAUGCCAUCCGUAUUUGGAGUUUUCUCCAGCAAGUGCGACCUCAAGGACGCGGCCUGGUGCGUGGGCGAGGUCGUCAGGGCCGCCGCUGCAGCUGACGUUGGCGACAAAGAUGUUGCCGGGGACGGCAGCUUGCCAGGCGAUGCCCCGGCAACUAAGAAGGCCCGCGCUACCCCACGAGAGUUUGCCGGGGGAAGUGCAGGCUCGAGCUCGUGCCCCGGCAAGGGCCAGAAGCUCCGGGAGGAGGCCGCCAAGGUGAAGAAGCUGCCCAUCCAAGCCAGCAACAAGGAACGCACCGUCACCGUCGGUGCGAAUCUUACUACCGAAUAGGAAAGCGCCCUCCUCACUUUCCUCCGGGAGAACGCCGACGUGUUCGCUUGGGAGCGGUCGGAUCUUCUCGCAGUCCCUAAGGAGGUGAUUGAGCAUCGGCUCGCGGUGCGCCCGGACGCGCGCCCUGCAAAGCAGAAGAUUCGGCGGCAAGCACAAGAGCGUAAAGAUUUCAUCAAGCAGGAGGUGGACAAGCUCAAGGCUGCCGGGGCUAUCAGGGAAGUUCUCUACCCCACCUGGUUAGCUAACCCUGUAGUAGUACCUAAAGCAGGGAACAAGCUUCGCAUGUGCGUAGAUUUUACUGAUCUUAAGCGUGCAUGUCCCAAGGAUCUCUUCCCUGUACCCCGUAUCGAUCAAAUAGUUGAUUCUACCGCUGGCUGUGACUUGCUGAGUUUUCUAGAUGCUUUUUCUGGCUACCAUCAAAUUAAGAUGGCGGUCGAAGACGAGGAAAAAACAGCGUUCAUCACCCCAGUUGGCUGCUAUUGUUAUACAUGCAUGCCUUUUGGGUUGAAGAACGCGGGCUCAACAUUUCAGCGCGCGCUGCGCGAAUGUUUGGGACCACAGCUCGGCCACAAUGCAGAGGCCUACAUGGACGGCAUCGCCAUUAAAUUGAAGCGCAGGGACUCGCUGAUUGAUGACCUGCGGGAAACAUUUGAUAACCUCCGCAGGAUCAAGCUCAAGCUGAACCCCGAGAAGUGCACCUUCGGUGUGAACUCCGGUCAGCUUCUGGGUUUCUUGGUUUCACACAGGGGGAUACAAGCCAACCCGAGCAAGAUAGAAGCCAUAGAGAAGAUGGAGGCUUCCAACAAGGUGAAAGAUGUCCAGCGCCUCAACGGCUGCGUUGCCGCGUUGGGACGCUUCAUCUCACGGCUGGGCGAACGCGCCCUGCCUUUUCUUCAAGGUGAUGAAGAAGAAGGGUCCGGUUGACUGGAUUCCCGAGGCCGAGGCGGCGUUCCGGGAACUAACACAGUACCUGAGGUCGACGCCCGUCCUCGUCGCCCCCAAGCCGGGCGAGCCGCUGCUACUCUACCUAGCGGCGACUGACCAGGUGGUCAGCUCGGUGCUGGUUGCCGAGAGGGAGGAAGAUUUUCCAAGGACUGAGGCUGUGGGGCAGGGGGCUGAGCGGCCCCCCCCAACCGCCUCGGACCCGGGAACCACCCCCCAGCCGGCAACUCCUGCACCACGUAAGCGAUUAGUGCAGCACCCGGUGCUGCGUGACGCGCGAAUGAGGUACCCGCAAGUGCAGAAGCUUCUCUUGGGGAUUCUCCUUGCGUCCCGCAAGCUGCGCCAUUACUUCCAGGCGCACCGCGUCACGGUGGUGUCGUGGUUUUUCCUUGAGCGAGCCCUCACCAACCGUGAAGCCACCGGGAGGGUGGCCAAAUGGAGGAUGGAGCUGUCGGAGUUUGACCUCCACUUCACCAACUCCAAGAGCAUCAAGAGUGCGGCUCUGGUGGACUUCGUUGCCGAGUGGACGUCAACAAACGCCGGAGAGGAGGAGCCGGGGACCAGCCUGCCCGGCAAGCUAGACAAAGGGCACUGGGUCCUCUACUUCGACGACGCAUUCAGUCUCCAAGGAGCUGGCGCCGGGGUCGUCAUCGAGUCACCAACAAGGGACCAGUUGAGGUUCGCUGUCCAACUCGAUUUCCCGAACUCCACCAACAACACGGCGGAGUACAAGGGCUUGCUCGCUAGGUUACGGGCAGCCACCGCCCACGACAUCAAGUGCUUGGUUGUUCGCAGGGACUCCCAGCUUGUGACAACCAGGUUAACAAGGACUACGAUUGCCCGCAGAUGGCGCCGUACGUGGAGGAAGUCCGCAAGCUAGAACGCAAGUUCAAGGGUUUGUGUUUCGAGCACGUCAAGCAAAAGGACAACUUCACUGCUGACGAGCUGGCCAAGAUGGCAGCAGAGCGCCGGAAGCCCCCGACGGGGUGUUCUGCUAGAACCAAGCGGCUCCAUCAGUCGCCCCCGAGCUGGUCGCCGGGGACGUCCCUCUGGCAACUGAAGGGACCCCCGCAACAGCAGGGGUCUAUGCCGCUGACAUAGCGGCAUGCGUAGGUAGGGAGACCCCUCCCUGGGCGAUGGAAAUCGCCCGCUACCUGUAGGAGGGAGCCCUCCCGGAGGAUGAUGCCGCCGCAUAACGAGUGGCCCGGCAAGCCAAGAUGUACGCCGUGGUGGACGGGAGCCUCUACCGCAGGCGUGCAAAUGGAGUCAAGCUCAUCUGCGUGCCGCGAGACGAGGGGCGCGCGCUGCUGGAAGAGAUACACCAAGGCACAUGCUCCCACCAUGUGGCCUCCCGGACGUUGGCUGGAAGGGCGUUUCGGCACGGUUUUGUCGCACCAGUGGCACCCGGGGUACCACCGCUGCGCGACGCGCGGGCCCUGUUCCCGGGAACCCGGGAAGGUCUCAUCCCGGGGAGCGUCUAUGAGCUCCCCGGCAAGCUACCAGCCCGAAAGGGCUAGCGGGGCUUCGGGGAAUAUUCCCGCCUGGGCACUUCCCGGGAAGCCACUUCCCGGGAGGGGGUUCCCGGGUGCGUUGGGCCCGGGUGCUUCCCGCCUCGGGCGUGGGGCCAGUGGACAGCGCCACGCGGGCGCGUGGCGGGCACGGGACGCGCGGUCCCACCAAGGCAAGGAGUAAGGCGCACGGCUUAGCAAACGAGCCAACCGACGGGUAGUUACCCGUCCGAUCCAAGGAACAGUGGUUGUCUAAUCCUACCCUAAGGUCUUAGGCCCCUAGCAGCGGAGGUGGCACCACGCCACCAGCUCACCAGGGGAGUUGCAUGCCUCCCCGUUGGACACUUGUAGCUCAUGCACCGUGGCACAUGUGGCAUCCUCUUAUGCAUAAAAGGAGGACCCAUGCCGACGGUCAAGGGGUUGGUUGGUUGGUCAGUUAGCUAGUUCGGACGAAGCUCGCUCGACAGACGCUUAGUGGCUCCAGUAGGCAGCCAGCACAGAGCGGUGAGGAGUACCUAGCCACUGAGAGAAAGCCCGGGAGCUUGCCCGGCAACUUGUAAGCAUUUGAUCUGUAAUCAAUAUCAGCUCAGACAAGCAGAACAAAGGGUUUUACACCUCCGGGUGGCCCGAACCUGGGUACAAAACGUGCGUGCAUCUGUUCUUGAACUAGCGCGUACCCCUAGCUCUUCGUCUCGCCGGCCCUGUAGGGCCUCAUCGGCCAUGCCGGCGAUCACCGGGUCUCCGCCCCAGACGCCCCUAACGAACCUAAAAGGGGGACGUGGCCGCACGCCCCCGGUGUCGGAGCACCGAGCGACGACAUCUGGCGCGCCAGGUAGGGGGCGUGGGAGUGGACAACGCCGGAGAUCGCCGACAGCAGAGUUUCCAUCGGCAUCGGCUUCGCUUUUCUUCGCCGACGAGUCUCGUCACCAUGCCCCCCAAGCGGGCUGGUGACUCACGCAUAGACCCGCGUGAGGCCCCAACGGCGCACACGCGGUCCCACGACGUGCGACCCGAGUCGGGGGCUCAGGAGAACCCCGAACCCUCGAGGGUGCAGCAAACGCAGCUACCUCCGCCGCCUCCUCGGCCGUCGACUGACAAUCGGCCGAGGGGACCGGCUACCCCCAGUGCCGGGGGCAGUCGGGCGAGCACGCACGGCGUCGCCCGGGCCAGCCAAUGGGUUGAGUCGCGGCCCGCGGACGCCCCGCCGCAGCGGCACCAGGAGCACGCCGCGUCACGGGCAAACCCUGGGGGUUCACACCCUACACACCCGGAGGCGUCCGGGGCUAGGGCGGGAAGCAGCCGUUCAGGAAACCGGCUGCCCCCCGUCCAAACCCCGACUGAAGCCAUCAUCGCCGCGCGCGUCAUGGUUUGGUACGAGCCGCAGCAGGGCACGUCGGCGCACGAGACGUGAGGCGAGGAGUUGGAAGCGCUUCUCGCCCUGGCCGCCCAGCAGCCACAAGGCAAGGGCGCCCCAGUAGGCUCCAGCCGCGGGCAGAACCCAGAGCGCGCAGACACGCCACCCGCCUCACGACAGGGGGAGAACCCUCCCCCUCCUCAGCGGAGUCAAGGAGACGGGGGUUGGAGGGGUCCUCGAACUCAUCGCCCACCGUUCCGGAGGGCGAUGCGUGUGCCAUCUUGAAUACCCGCCAGAAGGAGGAUCUGCGCCGACGCUCAGCAGGCGCGAGGUGGAGCGCCAGCGCCCACAGGAGCAGGAAGACGCUCCCAUGGGCCCCAAGGAUGGCUGCAACGCGUUCACGCGCGAGCUGCGGCGGGUGAUGUGGCCUCGUAAGUUCCGAGCGCCAGCGCUCGGUACGUACGACGGGACCGCCGCCGACAAGGUCAGGGCGAACUGGUUCCCGAUGGUCCUGAAAGGAUCAGCGCGAACCUGGUUGCUCAACCUGCCCGCCGGGUCCGUCGCUACUUGGGCGGACCUGCGCGAGCAGCUGGUGAGCGCGUUCCAGGGCGGCUAUAAGCGCCCGGGAACCAUGGCGGAGCUGCACACUAUCGUGCAGAAACCGGGAGAGACGUUGCGGGCCUUCGUCAACCGCUUCUCCAACCUUUCCUAUUCCAUCCCGGAGGCGGAGGCGGCCGCCAUUAUCAACACCCCGCUGCCCCAUCCACAGCAACUCCAUCCACGACAUGCAGAAUUGCCGCGUUCUGCAGGGGAUCAAGCAGCGGCGGGAGCCGCGCCACGAGGAGCACCGCGCCGCCAGCGCCUGCUUCAAUUGUGGCGACAUCGGGCAUCUCUCCCGGUAUUGCCCGAACGACCCCAAAGCGGGUCCGAGGCCGGCCGGCGGUGAUGCGGGCAGGGGUGAACCCCAAGGGGGGCGCGGUCAGCCCCACGCUGGGCGGGAACGCCCUCCUCGGGGACGUGACAGGGCGCGUGCUGCGGAGCAGCGCGAGUCCGACUAUACCGGUGGCGACGAACCGGGCUUCCAGGAGCCUCGUGGCGUCACCUGCAUCCAUGGGGGAGCUUACGCUCUCCUGUCCCACACCGCGGUGAAACGUCUCACCCGCGACAUGUGCGCGCUGCUGCCGGAUGCGGAGCCGCGACAGCCACUGAGGUGGUCGCACGUGCCGAUCACCUUCAGCGCCGACGAUCACCCAGCACGACAGUUGGGUUCAGGGGUAAAACCCUUCGUCAUCUCGCCGAUCAUUAGUAAUAUGACGGUGACCAAGGUGCUGGUGGACAACAGAGCGGGGCUUAACCUCCUAUCCGCCAGGCUGGUGGAAAAGCGCCAGCUGCCGAUGGAGCAGGUGAAGCCCACCAAACCAUUCCGGGGGGUGAACCCCGGGAUCGUGCGCCCACUGGGACGCAUCAUGCUGCCAGUCACCUUCGGGUCCCGGGAAGCGUUCAGGACCGAGCACCUAGUGUUCGACGUGGCGCAUACCCCGUUGCCCUACAACGGGAUCCUUGGUCGGCCAGCGCUGAUCAAGUUUAUGGCGGCUACGCAUUCCGCCUAUGGCGUGAUGAAGAUGCCGUCCGUCUAUGGGGUCCACUCCAUUAGGUGCGACCUCAAAGACGCGGCUUGGUGCGUUGGCGAGGUCGUCCGGGCCGCUGCUGCAGCUGACGCCGACGACGAGGAUGUCGUCGAGGACGACGGCUUGCCGGGCGAUGCCCCGGCAACAAAGAAGACCCGUGCUAGCCCGCAGGGGCUUGCCGGGGGAGGCGCAGGCUCGAGCUCGCGCCCCGGCAAGAGGCAGGGGCUCCGGGAGGAGGCCGCCAAAGUGAAGAUGCAGCCCCUCCAAGCCGGCGACAGGGAGCGCACCGUUACCGUCGGUGCAAACCUUGCCGCCGAAUAGAAAAGCGCUCUCAUCACCUUCCUCCAGGAUAACGCCGACGUGUUCACCUGGCAACCGUCGGACCUUCCCGGAGUCCCCAGGGAGGUGAUUGAGCAUCGACUCGCGGUGCGCCCGGAUGCGCACCCCACCAAGCAGAAGAUCCGGCGGCAAGCACAAGAGCGGAAAGAUUUCAUCAAGCAAGAGGUGGGCAAGCUCAGGGCUGCCGGGGCAAUCAGGGAAGUUUUAUACCCCACUUGGCUGGCUAACCCUGUAGUAGUGCCUAAAGCAGAGAGUAAGCUUCGCAUGUGCGUAGAUUUUUCCGACCUUAACUGUGCAUGCCCCAAGGAUCCCUUCCCUGUAUCCCGUAUCGACCAGAUAGUUGAUUCUACCGCUGGUUGUGACUUGCUGAGUUUUCUGGAUGCUUUCUCCGGCUACCAUCAAAUCAAGAUGGCGGUCGAGGAUGAGGAAAAGAUAGCGUUUAUCACCCCGGUUGGCUGCUAUUGCUAUACAUGCAUGCCUUUUGGGUUGAAGAACGCGGGCUCCACAUUCCAGCGCGCCCUGCACGAAUGUUUGGGGCCACAGCUAGGCCGCAACGUGGAGGCCUCCGCAGGAUCAAGCUCAAGCUGAACCCCGAUAAGUGCACCUUCGGUGUCAACUCCGGGCAGCUUCUGGGUUUCUUGGUUUCACACCGGGGGAUACAGGCCAACCCGACCAAAAUAGAAGCCAUCGACAAGAUGGAGGCCCCCCGCAAGGUGAAAGAUGUCCAGCGCCUCAACAGCUGUGUUGCGGGGCUGGGACGCUUCAUCUCCAGGCGGGGCAAGCGUGCCUUGCCUUUCUUCCGGGUAAUGAAGAAGAAGGGUCCAGUCGACUGGACUCUCGAGGCCGAGGCGGCGUUCCAGGAACUCAAGCAGUACCUGAGGUCGCCGCCCAUCCUCGUCGCCCCUAAGCUAGCCGAGCCGCUGCUACUCUACCUAGCGACGACUGACCAGGUGAUCAGCUCGGUGCUGGUUGUCGAGAGGGAGGAAGAUGUCCCGGGGACUGGGGCUGCGGGGCAGGGGGCUGAGCGGCCUCCGGCAACCGCCUCAGACCCGGGGACUGCCCCCGAGUCGACAACCUUGGCACCACGGAAGCGGUUGGUGCAACACCCGGUGUACUUCGUUAGUACGGUGCUGCGCAACGCGCGGACAAGGUACCCGCAAGUACAGAAGCUCCUUCUAGGGAUUCUCCUUGCGUCCCGCAAGCUACGCCACUAUUUUCAAGCGCACCGCGUCACGGUGGUGUCCGGGUUCUGCCUUGAGCGAGCCCUCACCAACCGUGAAGCCACCGGGAGGGUGGCCGAAUGGAGGAUGGAGCUGUCGGAGUUCGACCUCCACUUCACCAACUCCAAGAGCAUCAAGAGUGCGGCUCUGGUGGACUUCGUCGCCGAGUGGAUGUCAACGAACGCCGGAGAGGAGGAGCCGGGGACCAGCCUGCCCGGCAAGCUGGACAAAGGGCACUGGGUCCUCUACUUCGACGGCGCAUUCAGUCUCCAAGGAGCUGGCGCCGGGGUCGUCAUCGAGUCACCAACAGGGGACCAGUUGAGGUUCGCUGUCCAACUCGAUUUCCCGAACUCCACCAACAUUUGAUCCGUAAUCAAUAUCAGCUCAGACAGGCAGGACGUAGGGUUUUACACCUCCGGGUGGCCCGAACCUGGGUAAAAAACGUGCGUGCAUCUGUUCUUGGACUAGCGCGUACCCCUAGCACUUCGUCUCGCCCGCCCCGUAGGGCCUCAUCGGCCGUGCCGGCGAUCACCGGGUCUCCGCCCCAGACGCCCCUACCGAACCUAAAAGGGGGAAGUGGCCGCACGCCCCCGGUGUCGGAGCACCGAGCGACGACAGGUUUUUACUGGCCCACGGCCCUAGCCGAUGGGGAGCAGCUGGUGAAGACGUGCAAAGCAUGCCAGUUCCACUCGAAGAAGAGCAACCAGCCGGCGCAGGCCCUACACGUCAUCCCUUCCUCGUGGCCGUUCACGGUCUGGGGGCUCGAUAUCGUCGGUAAGUUACCGAGAGCAGUUGGUGGUUACGAAUAUUUGUUCGUGGCCGUCGACAAGUUCUCCAAGUGGGUGGAAGUGGAACCAGUGCGCAAGGUGACUGCCCAGGAGGCCGUCAAGUUCUUCAAAAGCAUUGUGUGCCGAUUUGGUGUGCCUAACGGCAUCAUCACCGACAACGGCACGCAGUUCACGAGCGCAGUGUUCCAGGCCUAUUGUGAGGCAUGCACACCAAGUUACACUUCGUGUCCGUUGCUCAUCCGAGGAGUAACGGGCAGGCGGAGCGAGCCAACGCAGAAGUGCUGCGGGGGCUGAAGACGAGAACCUUUGACAAGCUCAAAGGCCACGGGAAACACUGGGUUGAAGAACUCCAGCCCGUGCUGUGGUCAAUCAAGACCACACCUAGUACGCGUACGGCAACACCAGCCAACACGAGCAAAGGGUGGACGAUCUAAACUUCAUCGAAGAGCUUCGAUGCCGGGCUGCUGUGCGAGCCGCGCGCUACCAGCAGGGACCCCGUCGUUAUCACGACAGGUGAGUCCGUCCUCGGGGGCUCGAGAACGGAGACCUUGUCCUGCGCCGGAUACAAGGAACGAAGGCCGGGAACAAGUUGACUCCGAAAUGGGAGGGGCCCUUCCGGGUAGUGCAGGUGACCAGACCGGGGGCUGUCAGGACUGGAAACCGAAGAUGGCUUGCCGGUGCCAAAUAGCUGGAAUAUUGAGCACUUGCACAAGUUCUACCCGUGAAGCGGCGGAGCCCGACCCUCAGGUGAUGCCGCCGAUGCAUACCUCUCGAACUAGUGUAGCCGAGCAGCCCCCGUGUGUAAACCACUAGUUAUUGUGAAUAAAGAUAAGUGUUUCUUCCCUGAACUUCAAAGUUGCCUCGUUUAUUUGUGUGUUCCCCCCAUCUUCUGUCUCCUGCUUUUGGUGCACGGAAGUGUCUUUCCAUACUUGGUUGUGAGCAGGGGGCUGCUGGAGCCUCGAAAACAAAAACCUCGUUGCCGGAUCGCUCCGACACGGGACAUGCAGUUGUCGGCUUUCCCGCAACGUGCAUCAGGGGACAUGCAGUUGCCGUGUUCCCCGCAACGUGCAUCACGGGACAUGCAGUUGCCGGGUUCCCCGCAACGUGCAUCACGGGACAUCCUGCUGGUCCUUGAUGGCGUCUAUGAACCGGUGUCCUCGUUCGAAGACGCUCGGAUCCCAAGUGAUGGGAUUCCAAGCCACCCCAGCAAGGGUGCCGAGGUCGGUGUUGGGGAAGGCCGCUGAUGGCGACGAAGCCCCCUCCGACAUCGUAGAACGGUGCGGGGCAUCAUCUUCUCGCUCCGGGGCGUCCGGUCGCCCUUCCCCGGCCACUUCCCCUUCACCCGUACCUGAGAGCUCCGGGGCUGGAGAAGCCACCGUGCCCCCGGCGAGUGCCGUCUCUUGCUGGGCGGCAGGCAAGUCCCCACCAGCUGCGUCUGCGGUAGCCGGUGCGUUCGCUGCCAUGGCCGGUGCAGUAGGGCUUGGUGCGGGAGCCGAUGCCGGCUCCUCCGCCGCCCCCGUGAUCUCGACGUCGGGGUCAAGAUCAACCACGGUAGCUCCCGCUCCCGGUGCGGGCGCGCUUGUGCCUACAGCAACAAGGAGUGUGAGGAUCGACAAGUAAAAGAGCUAUUGGAAGCGGACAAGGGCAGUCGGGGCGGUUACCCUGCACGGCAGAUGGACUUGCGAGGGGGGCCUCCCCCGCCUCACCUGUGCCGGCGGGAGCCUCCGAGAGGCUUGCCGUAGGCGAGCUGCCGCUUGCUGAAAAAGAAGGUACGUUUGUAUGGUUAACUGACAACUAAAAAUGCAGCAAAGGAGGAGCGAAGGAGCCGUACCAGUCGCCGGCCCCGCCCCCGUUGGGGCUGGGUCAUUGGCAGGCACGAUGACGACGCCGCUGCCGGCGAGUCAGUCCUCGGGGUGUUGCGCCGGAGCUCGAAGCCCCGGAAGACCCCCCGAGCGGGCAACACCGUGGGUGCCCGCGGGGUCGCUGCAACCCGGGGCGUCGCGGGGAUCGGUGACGGAGCCACCGCGGCGUGAGGGGCCAAUCCCGGGAGGGCUGCCGCUGCGGUCCCAGUAGCUGCUGCUACUGAAUCCGUUGCCUGGUCGCGGAUGGUUCCCGCCGAGGCAUCGGCAGAUGCCCCCGGGGUAGCUGCUGCCGCGGUGCUGGCGGCCGCCGCUGGGGCGGGUGUCGCCGCCGAGGCUCCGGCAACCCUUGCGGAUGUGGUCGCCGCCGAAGUACCGACGGGCGCCCCUGAAGUGACUGCCGCCGCGGGGCUGGCGGCCGCUGCCGAGGCGGAUGUCACCGCUGGGGAAGGUGUCGCCGCGGCUGCCGGGGAGAUAGCCACAGCCGCUGCGUACGCUCUUGAUCUCCGAACGAUCAGGGGCGCAUCGUCGCUGUCCUCAUCAUCGUCGUCCACCGGAACGACUUCUGGGGACGCUGUAGCCUGGCCUGCCUCGUCAUCCAGGGACUCGAGGGAGGGCCAGCUGAUCUCCGACUCGCCCCCGCUCCCCUCGAGCACCUGCUUCCCGCGAGGUGCUGGCAAGGGAGCGAGGGUGGUCCGGGUGGGGGUAUCGUCCAUCAACCCCCACUCGUUGCAGGGCGGGAAGGCGGCGACGAUGUCGUUGAGCGCCGCAACACCGGCAUGGAGGGAAAAGACCUCCGGCGGGAACCUCGUUGAUUGGCAGGUUUCGCCGGAGAUUCCCCUCACCCACGUCUUGAGGGUUUCCAAAUCCACGCCGUCCUGAUGGAGGCGUGUCCUGUUCUCAGGACCCAUGUACAUCCACGCGGGCUGGGAGCGCAGUUGGAGCGGCGCUAUGCGCCAGUUGAUGAAGGUACACGCCACGUCCACAUCGGUGAGCCCCGCUAGCGGCAAUGCCUUAAUCUUCUCCAUGAUGGGGAGGAGAUCGGCGUCGCGGUAGUACCUGUCCUGCCAGCCGCUGUGGGGCUGCGGCAGCUCCGUGGGCGAGAGGAUGAACUCCUGGGGGUCCUCCACCCGGACCCAGCACCAGUCUCCCCGCACUCCUUCUCGAUCUUUUUUCCCGACCGAACGAUGAACUCAGACUUCAUCUGGUCGCGGGCACGGAACACCACCCCCGACGACUUCGCCUUCGCGUUAUCGAUUCGGGAGGGGGUUCCCGCCUGGGCACCUCUCGAGAAGCCAGUUGCCGGGAGGGGGUUCCCGGGUGUGGUCAGGCCUGGGCGCCUCUCGGGAAGCCACUUGCCAGGAGGAGGGGUUCCCAGGCGCAGGCUCCCGCCACAAGGGUGGGGCCCAGCAGGAAGGAGGUGCUUUAGGAGAGCGGGGGCGAGUCGGAGAUCAGCUAGCCCUCCAUCCAGUCCCUGGAUGACGAGGCAGGCCAGCCUGCGGCAUCCCAGGCAGUCAUCCCUGUGGACGAUGACGAGAAGAAAAGUGAUGACGCGCCCCUGAUCGUGCGGAGAUCAAGGAUGUACGCAGCGGCCGCGGCUCCCUCCACAGCGCCUGCGGCGAUACCCGCCCCAGUGGCGGCCUCCGCUCCUGCCGCGUCAUCCGCCCCGGCAGCAGCACCCGCCGUCCGGCGGCGGCUUCUAGCUCUGCAGUGGCAGCCGCCUUAGGGGCGUCCGCCGGUACCUCGGCGGCGACCAUACCCGGGGGGGUCGCCGGACCCCCGGCGGCGACCGCCUGCGACCCGGCAGCGAUUCCUUCAAAAGCAGCUGCCAGGGCCGCGGCGACAACCCCGCCGGGGGCAGUCCAAGACGCCGCGGCAGCCUCGUCGUCGGUUCCCGCAGCGCCCCGGGCUGCAGCAACCCCACGGGCGCCCACGGCGCCGCUCGCUCGGGGGCUCUUCCGGGGCUUCGCGCUCUGGCGUAAUCCCUCGAAGGCUGAUUCGCCGGCGAGCGCUAGCAAGAGGGGGAGGGACGACUCCCCGCCCGCCGCGCCAAGCAAGAAGGCGCGCGCGGACACCGGCAGCGCUGCCGACCUCGACGUCAUUGGGGCCCGUAGCGCCGCCAUCGCACCCGCCGGCGGCCCAACUCCAACAGAGGUGGUGCCGGCAACAGGUACGGCUCCAUCCUGUCUCCUUUGCCACAUUUUCGAUUGUUAGUUAAUCACAUGAUGCUCUUGGAGGUGGUGAAGCGCAGAUUGAAUUCUGACAGCUCCAUCCUCCAUUUGGCCACCCUUCCAGUACAGGGAAGGCAUCCUUGGGACAUGCACGGUUUAGAUCAGUAAAAUCCACGCACAUGCGAAGCUUAUUCCCUGCUUUAGGAACUACUACAGGGUUGGCUAACCAAGUGGGGUACAGAACUUCCCUGAUAGCCCCAGCAGCCUUGAGCUUGUCCACCUCUUGUUUGAUGAAAUCUUUGCGCUCUUGUGCUUGCCGCCGAAUCUUCUGCUUGACGGGGUGGGCGUCCGAACGCACCGCGAGCCGAUGCUCAAUCACCUCCCUGGGGACUCCGGGAAGAUCUGACGGCUCCCAAGAGAACACGUCGGCAUUCUCCCGGAGGAAAGUGAUGAGGGCGCUUUCCUAUUCGGCAGCGAGGUUUGCACCGACGGUGACGGUGCGUUCCUUGUUGCCGGCCUGGAGUGGCAGCUUCUUCACCUUGGCGGCCUCCUCCCGGAGCUUCUGGCCCUUGCCGGGGCACGAGCUCGAGCCUGCACUUCCCCCGGCAAGCACUUGCGGGGUAGCGCGGGCCUUCUUCAUUGCCGGGUCGUCGCCUGGCGAGCCUCCGUCUCCGGCAACAUCCUCGUCACCGGCGUCAGCUGCGGCGGCAGCACUGACGACCGCGUCCUUGAGGUCGCACCUGAUGGAGAGAACUCCAUACAUGGACGGCAUCUUCAUCACGACGUAGGCGCAAUGCGUAGCCGCCAUGAACUUGAUCAGUGCCAGCCGACCAAGGAUCCCGUUGUAGGGUAACAGGGUGUGCACCACGUCGAACACUAUGUGUUCGGUCCUGAAUGCCUCCCGAAACCCGAAGGUCACCGGCAGCGUGAUGCGCCCCAGGGGGCACACGAUCCCGGGGUUCACCCCCCAGAAAAGGUCGGUGGGCUUCAGCUGCUCUACCGGCACCUGGAGCCUCUCCACCAGCCUGGCGUACAAGAGGUUGAGCCCCGCUCCGUUAUCCACCAGUACCUUGGUCACCGUCAUGUUGCUGAUGAUCGGUGAGACGACGAAGGGUAUUACCCCUGAACCCAGCUGCCGCGCUGGGUGAUCAUCAGCGUUGAAGGUGAUCGGCACGUGCGACCACCUCAGCGGCUGCUGCGGCUCCACGUCCGGCAACAGCGCGCACACGUCGCGGGUGAGGCGCUUCACCGCGGCAUGGGAUGGGAGAACAUAGGCUCCCCAUGGAUGCAGGCGACGCCACGAGGCUCCUGGAAGCCCGGCUCGUCACCGCUAGUGCAGUUGGACUCGCGCUACUCCACAACGCGAGCCCUGUCACGUCCCCGGGGAGGGUGCUCCCUGCCCGCGCGGGCCUGGCCGCGUCCCCCCUGGGGAUCGUCCCUGCCGGCGCCGCCGCCGGCAGGCCUCGGCCCCGCUCUGGGGUCGUUCGGGCAAUCUCGGGAGUGAUGUCCGAUGUCGCCAGGGCUCGCAGCAGCCUUGGCUGCUAGCUUGGGCGCUAAGCGCCCUUCCUCGGCCAUGGCGCACUUGUGCGCCAGGGCGUACAGAUCCUGUGUCGUUCGGAUCCGAUGCGUACUCAGCUUCUCGCGCAUCUUGGGAUCGCGGACGUUGAUGGCGAAGGUGUUGAUGAUGGCAGCUGCCUCCGCCUCCGGGAUAGAGUAGGAGAGGUUGGAGAAGAGGUUGACGAAGCUCCGCAAUGUCUCUCCCGGCUUCUGCACUAUGGUGUGCAGUUCCGCCAUGGUUCCCGGGCGCUUGUAGCCACCCUGGAACGUGCUCACAAACUGCUCGCGCAGAUCCGCCCACGUGGCGAUGGACUCGGCAGGCAGGUUGAGCAGCCAGGUUCUCGCUGAUCCUUUCAGGACCAUCAGGAACCAGUUGGCCCUGACCUUGUCGUCGGCGCCGAUGGCAUGCAUCCCCAAUGUGUAGGUCAGGAGGAAAUCCUUGGGAUUCAUGGUUCCGUCGUACGUGCCGAGCGCUGGCGCUCAGAACUUGCGGGGCCAUGUCACCCGGCGCAGCUCACGCGUGAACGCUAUGCAGCCGUCCUCGAGGCCCAUGGGAGGAUCUUCCUGCUCUUGCGGGCGUUGACGCUCUACCUCGCGCUGGCGCCGGCACUCUAAGCGCGGGCGCAGAUCUUCUUGCUGGCGGACAUUCAAGAUGCCGCGCGCAUCACCCUGUGUGACCGUGGGUGACGAGUCCGAGGACCCCUUCGGGUCCCUGUCUCCCUGGCCUCCCUGCGGGGGAGGGUUCUCCCCCUGUCGUGAGGCGCGGGGCGCCUCUCCGCGCUCCGGGUUCUGCCCGUGGCCGGAGCCUGCCGGGACGCCCUCGCCUUGCGGCUGUUGGGCGGCAAGCGCGAGCAGUGCGUCCAACUCCUCGCCCCAUGUCUCAUGCGCCGGCGUGCCCUGCUGCGGUUGUCCUCAGCCCGCGACUCGACUUGCUGGCCGGUGCGGGCAGCACCAUGCCCGCUCGCGCGGCUAGCCCCAGCGCUGGGGGCCGCCGGCCCCCUCAACCAGUUGUCGGCAGACGACCGAGGAGGCGGGGAGGCAGCUGUGAUUGCUGCACUCGUGAGGGCUCAGGGUUCUCCUGAGACCCCGACACGGGUCGCGCGUCGUGCGACCGCGUGUGUGCCGCUGGGGCCUCACGCGGGUCAAUCCGAGGGUCACCAAUCCGCUUGGGGGGCAUGGUGACCGGCUCUGUCGGCAAAGAAGACGAGGCCGCCGGCAGUCACCGGCGAGCUCUCCUCUCGCGCCCCCUACCUGGCGCGCCAGAUGUCGUUGCACGGGGCUCCGACACCGGGGGCGUGCUGGCACACCCCCUUUUAGGUUCGGCGGGGGCGUCAGGGAUCGCUCCGACGAUCGCCGGCGUGGCCGAUGGCGUACGUAACCUGCAAAGAGGUGCACCCAGAAUGCAUGCAAGCAAGGAACAUAUGCACGCAUGUUUUACCCAGUUUCGGGCCACCCGAAGGUGUAAAACCCUACGUCCUGCUUGUCUAAACUCGUAUUGUCACAAAACCAAGUGUUUACAGGUUGCCGCAUGAGUUCCCGGGUACUCUCUCCCUUUGGCUAAAUGUUCCUUACUAUUCUCUGCUAAUGCUAGAGGCUAACUGUGAGCUGAUCGAACCGUGAGACCGUAAAACCGAACCCUUUGACCUUUGGCGGGGGUCCUCCUUUUAGAACCAAGGGAAUACCACAGGUGCCACGGUGCAUGCAUUACAAGUGGCAAGCAGGGAGAUAGGGCAACUCCCCCUCGGUGUGCUGGUGGGCGUGCAUGAACGCCAACUCCGCUGCUAGGGGUCUAGAGCCCUACAAGUAGGAUUGGACAGCCACUGUUUACCUGACUAGACGGGUAACACCCCUCCUGUUGGCUCAUUAAAUGUGCCGUGCGGCUCACUCCUUGCCCUGAUGAGACUGCACACUGGGCGCCCAACGCGCGCCCACGUGACAUCGCUUCUCUGCCCUCUUGGCCCCACCCUCACGGUGGGAGCCUACGCCCGAGAACCCCUCCUCCCAGCAAGUGACUUCCCGGGAGGCGUCCAGGCGGGAAUAUUUCCCGAAGCCCCGCUAGCCCUUCAAGGCUGGUAGCUUGCCGGGCCGCUUGUAGCUGCGGCCCGAGAUGAGAUCCUGCCGGGAACUCGGCAAAGAGGCCAAUGCGUCGUGCAACGGUGGUACUCAGGAUGCCACUGGUGCGACACCGCGCGUCACCUGGCGUGACGGUCGGUGACGAGUCCGAGUAGUCCUCGGGAUGCUCGCCACCUUGUCCUCCCGAAGGGGGAGGAUGUUCUCCAUGUCCCGAGACGCGGGGCGCGUCUCCGCGUCCCGCGUUCUGUCCCCGGUCCGAACCGGCCGGGCCACCCUCUCCUUGCGGCGUUUGGGUAGCGAUCGCGAGGAGUGCGUCCAGCUCCGCACUCCACACGUCUUGCGCUGGCGUGCCUUGCGGUGAGGGGCGAGGCGAGUGCUCUGGCGAUCGCCGGCGUGACGUAAGACACGAAGUGUCGACACUCGGAUUUACCUAGGUUCGGGCCACCCGGAGGUGUAACACCCUACGUCCUGCUUGGAGUUGUAUUCACGAAAUGUGUGUGUUCUUACAGAUUGCCCGGGGGGUCCCUGGGUGAGCUACUUGUUCUUCUAGGGGAUUCUGCUAUGGAUGGGAGCACUACUACUUGCUACUGACUGGGGUUCGAACCCUUUGACCGAUGGCGCUGGUCCUCUUUUUAUAAUCAAGGGGAUACCACAGGCGCCGAUGCAUGCAGCGUGACACGUUUUCUACACGCGUGUCAUUGCCACAAAACUCACCCCACUGUAAAUCCGUGAUGGGCUUCAUGCAACGCCCAAGGAACUGUGCAUUGUAAACAAAACAGUUCUUAGACUAGCCGCUCUAAACUUGUUGGGCAAGACUAGCCCUGCCGAUGUGACUCAUGUCGGUGCAUUUAAUGCACUGUGUCCGCUGUGUGGUCUUUGUCUCCGCUGUUCCGUUGGCCCCACCUGCAACCCCCAAAGCCCCGGUACCCGGAAGGCACCCAGUACCGUCGCCCGGCAAGUUGCGGGGGAGCGAGUUGAUAACUUCCCGGGUUCGCCCCUCCCGGCAAGCCGGCCUAGCGGGAUCUCAUCAGUUGCGACCCACGCGUCCCGUGUCAGUGGGGCCCUGUGAGCCACAGGUACGAUACAUCUGGCCCUGCCUGAAAAAAUGAGUGAGCAGGGGUAGGAGCAAACAAUACUCAUCCUGAUGGGCAGGGACAAGUCUGGAAGAAUGUGUGGCAAUCAAAAGUCCGUCAUAAGGUCCGAAUUUUUGCCUAGAAAGUUGCUAGAAAUGCUCUAUCUACAAAUGCAAGCCUCCACCGUAGACAGAUUGACACCCUCCCAAACUGCAGCAUCUGUGGAGCUCAGUGGGAAGUCAUGGAGGAGGAUUGGAGCCUCCUGCACAUUGCGGAUCUCACUAAAAAUGAACCGGAAUGGAUUCUCAGCAGGCUGAAUCGCCUGUCGAAAAAUCAGGGAGUCAUCGUCCCUAUGACUUUGUGGAGAAUUUGGUUUGUUCACAAUGAGAUAACUCAUGAUAUAUAAGCCCAUGCCAACAACCAUUGAAGGUUCCCGUCGCUACCUGUCUAGCUACAUUGACACUCUCCUCCUCGUGGACCAACACCAGCAGAUCGAUUUAGUAGGGUAACACACGUGAUUGAUGUCUCCAAAAUGACCACCGAGGCGCGGGCCAAACAGAUACAAGUGCCUAAUGCCUCUGUUCCUGGAAACCGCCAGAUCCUGGCUCGUUUAAGGUGAAUGUGGAUGGUUCUUUAUGCCAUGAAUCAUCCGAGAUGAGAAAGGUAAGCUAAUGGUGGCUGCCUGUAACUCUGUAAGCAUCUACAAGACUGUGUGGAUCCUUUGGACGCUGAGCUGGCUGCUUGCGAGGAGGGACUGGUUUUGGCAACAAACUAUUCUCAACCGCCGUUCGUUCUGGAGAUUGACUGUGCUGAAACGCUGACCCUUGUUAACCAGGCUGUCCUCUCGGAAAGGCAAAAUAUAAAGGGGAAAUUUGUUGGAGAACAGCGUUAUUUCGUGGCAUUACAAUUUUGUGGACAUUUGCUAGAACACACUGCAUCGACUUAAUUUGAGAAUUUGACAUUUUUACUUGGUCGACGACCAUCUUAAAUCCGAUUUUGAACACUUUUUUUUCUUUGUACAAGUCGAUAUUUGACAUCUACUGGGGUUCGCUAUUGGUUGAGGUGGGCAUUUGUACCCUGUGUUGCUGCACUCUGCAUGAGAGAAAACGCUUCAAACAAAGAGUUUGAAAAAUUCUAGACACAUUUGUUAAAGGGUAGAAUGAUAAUUCAAUGUGAAAAAAAAGUCAAACUUUCUGUUUUGGACCAUACAAUGUGUUUUGGCAAAUGUUCAUGAAAUUGUAAUGGUACCGGGUAAAGACACAUUCCGACGGUGUGUUUCGGCAAAUGCCACGAAAUAACGGUGUCCUCCAUCCAAUUUUCCCAAAUAUAAACCUCUGCAAGAUUCUUCGAGUUAAAAAUUCUGUAAGCCACUAAUAGGUUAUCGUGUGAGUGGUUUGGGGUCUGUCCCAUUCCGCUGUUAAAUGUAACUAGAAGAGUGGCCCGCGCACUUGCGCGGGCAACAUCUUUUAUUAUUUAAGAAUUUUGAAUCUUGUAUUAUAAUAUCGUAUAGAUAUUUAAUAUUAUGCUAUUUGAAGGGAUGUCAUUGUGAAUACAUAAAUAUUGUACUUCAGUAAAUGAAACUUUUUUUUACAGCCACUAAAUGGAACUUAGUUUCAUAAAAGAUAAAUAAAAUUAUUUUCAUAUUAUCAAUCGUCAAAUUUGAUUUGAAUGAAGGGAAAGAGAUGCAAUUAAGAGAGCUUAGAUAUAAAACAUAAACCAUAAAAAACACAACACUUUUUCAGUAUGUUUUUCAAUUUGGUUAUAGGACAACUAUUUCAUUUCCUUGGAGAUAUUUGCAGUGAUUAAAAAGUUAUAUUUAUUCUAUAUGGCGCGGGAAAACGGAUCAAACAAAAUCUUCUCGUCGACCCCUUUGUCUUUUUUUUUCUCAAUCACUACUUUCAAUCAAACAAUUUGUUUUGCAAGUCAUCAUGUCUCUUUGUUUUCUCCAAUGACAUAGCUCUGGACAUGCUUAAUUCGAUAAAAUAUUCAUCCCAGAAAGAUAUUAGUGGAUUAUUAUUCAUUAAAUCAUGAUAAGUUAUCCUGUCAUAAUAUGUAGUGAAAUAUUCACCCAUCACCAUAACCCCUUUCUUAGUUCCCCAACAAAUUUACACACCUAAAGGUCCACAAAUUGCUUCCCAUUAGCUAGCUUAAAAAUAGUCACCAAGUAUCAAAAUAAAAGAAAGUCAGAACUUAAUUAAGAAACUACCGGGGCACAUGAAUAAUAUGGUAACCUUUCUAUUCAAUUUCUGUAGCGAAGUUUAGUAGCAUACAAUUUAUCAUUAGUAACACACAAACAAUCUGCAAGAAAUUAAUAAACACAUUAAGUACUAGCCAAUAAAAAAAUAGUGUUUGCAAUCUUAAGUAGAAAAAUAGAAUUCUCCUAGAUUCAUGGGAGAAAGUAUCUGCAAAUUACAUAUUGGAAUUAUACCCUUGUUAACCAACGAUUGAAGUUUGGUACAAUAUUGGUCAUUUUGCAAUCUCCCUGGAUGAAGUUCAACAUCAUAAACUUGCUCUAAGCACCAAGUAGACCAAGAAGAGAUGUUGGUUUUAUACAAUGUCACAUGCCAUGCAAGACGUUCGGUUUGUAUCAUGUAACGAAACUUGCGAGUUGAGAUGCAAAAUUCUUGAAUUUCUUAAUUGACAUGACAACAACCAGAUCACAUGGAACAUUCCAAGGAACCGGAAACAAACGCGAAUGCUAAAUCAUCAAAUGACAAUUGUCAAUCCACGGUGGAAUCUUGCUCAUGAAUUUGACAUAUGUUUCACAAUUAACUAAUGAUUUAAUGGCAAACUCUUCAACUAAUUUUUACAAGAUGCAAAGAUCACGUUAAUACUUCCAAAAAUGUAGAAAGAAAAUUGAAAAGUUACAUGAUACAUCAAGUGCAAUUGGUAAAUUUUUAUUCAUUCAUUUUUGUUCUUUGGAAUCUUGAUGCUGUGAGCACAUGGAGUAGCAACAUAUGGACAAAAUAUGAAAUAAAUUGAUGUUACUAAGUGCUAAUAAUCCCAUAUCUUUCUAUCGUAGUAAAAUAUAACUUAGUUUUUUAUUAUUAUCGCCUCUUUCACUUAACUACUGAUAACAUUCUAAAUUAGUUGUAAAAGGUACAAAACAACUGCCGCAAAUGUUUGUGCAGAAAAGAAAAACUUAUUGGUAGGGUAUAGUACUCCCUCUGAUCCAUAUUAGGUAUUGCUGAUUUAUUACAGCAACAACUAAUAUGGAUCGGAGGGUGUAGUCUUUGUCUAUGUGUGUUUUAAAAGGAUGUGUGUGUUUAUGCGUGCUUUAAAUGGAUUAGGGUAUAAUAAAUUUGUAUCAAAUGUCAACUUUAAUACUCCCUCCGUUCCAUAUUAAUUGGCAUCCUUUUUAGGCGAAAGGUUGUCAUCUCAAGAUACUAAGCAAUAUCUAGAUAAAUAAGCUGCUCCCAAGUUAUCAGAAUCCAGGGACUUCAUCAGAGACGUCAAAGUGCUUGAAUGUUCUUGUAUGGAGUCAGUUCAAUCGUUACCACAUUUGUUGUAGUAAGAACCUAAAUUGUCUUCCUCACACUAUAUGAUAUACUUGGUUGGAAAUGUUGCGUUGUUUAUAGAGAAACGUGACAUAGAACAUUGCAUAUGCCGGUGCUUAUGAGGUUUUGGCUAACAACUUGUGGGGGUACUGAGGACAAGCUGAAAUCAAUUAUCUCGUCUCCCUUUCGGACUAUAGAGAAGUAAAUUCAUCAACCUAUUAAUGUGGUUCCCUGACUUGUUGAACCGAACCAAAAAUGUCAAUCCUUUCUCUUUUCCUGGUCUUCUCAGCCUACUCGUAAAUUGGUACCUUCUUGUUACGAAGCUCAAGAACACUUUGUAGGUAUCUACUAUUUAAUGAUUUUGCAUCUACAACAAAAUAGAAGAUACCUAUUGUAGCCAUUAAUAGGAAUACCAUUCGGUAGCCUGCCAAAAUUGAAAUAAAGAAACACAUUCCAUAUGCUUGAAAGUAGAAGAUAAAUAAUUUGUAUCCAUUAACGGAAAGGCCAAUCAGCGGUUAUAGCGACCUACAAGCUUUGUUAACCAAAAAAUAAUUCUCAUGUUAGAGUAAUGUGUUGCGGUAGUCUAAAAACGUUUUUCUACCAAUUGAUCUAGAAAGAGUGCCCACGCACUUUCAGAUAUGAUCAUUAUGGUACAGUUAAAGUGAUUGUUAAGAACGUUAGUCAACAUUUUAGGUGUACUUUGGUGUUAUGUAUAUAAAACUGAAACCCACUUGUCCAUUCUAGAUGACAUCAUUAUUAGGUGUCAAACUGAAGACAUAUAAAUGUAUAUACAUACAUCUAGUAAAGUGGGUAGCAUACCAGGUCAUGAUAAAGCAGGCCAUAUUAUGUCAAAGUUGGUAACUCGACAGUGAGAAGUCAUAAAAAUGCAAGAUUAAGACAACUGAAUUAUUGAUAGAAGAGCAGCCAGCAUAAGAUUAUUAACAAAUAUAGAUAUUGGCCAGCAUAAGAUUAUUAACCAAUGUUUGUAGUCUUAUAUGUAAUCUGUUUUCUAAUUGCUUACAUCGAGCGGAUGGAACACGGUUUGCUAAAUGAAAGCAUGACUCGUAUUCAGUAUCCAAUGAAUGGAAAAUAGAUAUUGGCCAGCAUAAGAUUAUUAACCUUGCUGUCUGGCCUUCGGGGAUGCUUUAACUGGAAAACGAAAAUAUAUUUGCUCAACAGUUUAAAUUUGCCAUGGAGACAAUAAAGAAGUGCACACAUUACUGCCCCUGAUAUUUUGACAUUGUUUCCUACCAAUAAACUCUAUGCAAUGAGACAAACUGAUAGUGAUCUACAUGUAUAUAACGGAAUACAAGAAACUGAGAAUGUGACUCUGACUCCAACUUGCAUCUCUUCUCUCAUUGCUUGAAAGAACAGAAAAGGCACAAUCAAUAACAUCUUCACCGUCGAGAGUAACGAUCAGUCCAAGAACACCAUGCAUUGAUGGGUGUUGAGGGCCCAUAUUGACUAUCAUGAGAUCUUUUCUUGUAAGCGGUAGACUCAUAUCCUUUCUUCCUUAAUUCGUUAUUCCAUGAAUUCCUCAAAACGAGGCUCAUCAAAAUGCAAAAUCUAGCAGACCAAGUAGAUGGGGGCAACGAUUUUCUAAUUUUAUUAGAAGGAACUGAUGAAUUGAUUACAUAAACUAUUCAAAAGAAAAUUGAUGAAUUGAUUACAGAAACAAUUCGUGACACACGUCAGUGCAGUGCGAUCUAACUACAGUUGAAAGACUGCAAUUGAAGGGAAGCCAAACUUACAAACUUCAGACAAUAAAUAGUGAAUAGGAUAUUGAUUGAUCCACAAGUCCACAACCACGGAUCGAGAAUACAAUCAUAACGAUCUCCUCCGUGAGGGCGACAGCAGCAGGUUCGAUCAAUCGGGACAUGGACGAUUAAGGCGACUGAGGUGGUAGUGUUGAUUCCUCAGGACAGCAACGCUUGGGUAAAGCCAUGGUGGAAGCCCGGUGAGGGCAGGGGCAGGAUGCGACGCAGCGAGGUAGAUGGAUGAUCCCGGCACGUUCGAAGGCUAGUUGGGGACGGUUAGAUGGUCCUUAAUUGAAGAUCGAACGGUCAGACUCUUGUGGACGUACCGAGGCUCGUGGGAUGUGGAUUCUUUCCAUCUCAGCCGUUAAUUGUGACAUUAAUUGUAAAGAUCUGCGAAAUAAACGGUCAGAUGUUUUGCUUUAUGAUGAGACUAGCAAAAUGCCCAUGCGCUGCCACGGCCCAGGCGCACCGUGUAUGAUGGUCAUCAAGACCACUUUGAAAUGUGGUCACGUGCAGGAAAAGCAUGAACACAUAAAAAUGUAAAUAUGCACCAUGCUUGGAUCAAUCAUAAAAAAAACAUAGGAAAAAUUCUGGAGCAUGCAUGAAAAAUCAUGGAAGAUUGGAACUUCAAGCUGCAGUUAGUAUCAGACACGUUCAUUGACUCUCGCUGAUUAACAUGAACUGCAAAUACAUAAUCAAAACAUCUGAAGAAAAUCCAUAUUACCUGAAGACACAAGUACAGAAUAUCUCGAAAAAUAAUCUAAGAAGAAGAAGAAAUCUAUGAGCGAAGGCUCCAGGUCAUCCUGCACACCUGAGCGUCGAGGUAACUGCAAGGACGAGCACGACGAAGUAUGCCGAAAUAAGCUCCGUGCCGUACCUGCUCAUCAUGUGGAGUUACCAUUUGCUUCUAAUAAGCCAAGCAAUUCAGAAUGAUAUAGUACUCCCUCAGUCCCAAAAUAAGUGACUUGGAUUUGUAUAGAUUUUUAUACAAAUCCAAGUCACUUAUUUUGGGACGGAGGGAGUAUAAGUUAUUCAUGACACACCAAAUUUCGGUUACAGAAUUCUAUAAUUUUGCGGAGAGGAAGUGUAUUUGGUGUUGGCAUACGACACACCAAAUUUCUGUUACAAGUCAUUCAAGAACUCUCUAAUUUGUGGGGAUUGCAUUAUCUUUCCUGCCUAUACGAAGCAUAUUCCUACAGCACAUGCUUCAGCAUAUCAUGAUACGAUACAGUACACACUAAGGGAACACUUCAAAGUUAUCUUAUUUUUUUUUAAGAACAGAUGGUUGGAACCAUUACAGAGGCAUUUUGUGGAACAAACAAUUAUGCAGCUGACGCAUUUGCUCUAGUUUGACACCCCAAACAACAUAUACAGUAACAUAACUAAACAACUUGGGAGGAUGGUAUGUGGUUAAAAUACAAAAAUAUAAAUUUUAGCUAGCAAUAGCAAGAACCAAGAGUUGCACCUUCUGUAACCAUAAGUACUGUCAACUUUAUCUAUAUACUACCGUGGGUGAUGGAUAUUACCUCGUCAGCCAAGAUACUCUUGUUGUACAAAGAACAUUAUCAAUCUCUAAGACCAAGCUUGACCUCAUUGUCAUCUCCUCUUCAAAUAGCUUCAGAUUAUGUGAUGGACGCCCAGGCAAUCUCCUGCUUGAGUUUGAGCUCCGUGUUCAGCCGGAGCUUCUCGUCCUCAGAGUCCAAAUCAAUCCACUCACUGAUCCUCCCAAUGAAGAUGAUCCUCUGGGAAGAGACAAUAGAUUGGAUAAGGACUACAACGAUGCAAGAUAUCAUAAUAAAGCUUCAGUUCUGAAUGUUUAUCAUUGCAUCAAGGUGAAGUUUGGGAAGGAAAAAAAACUCCGACAAGGCAGGCGCUUACAAUUAAAUAACAGUCUGUGUGCUGCUGCUCUACUUCAUCUCCACUGCCAGCUUCUUCCUCACCAACAGCUGCUGCUCCAUCUCUUCUUCCUCUACUCAGCCCACCUAUAACAGAAGACCAGAGAAGAUUUAGAGAGAGAGGGAGAUCACCAGCAUAUUCUGAUCCCUGCACACUAUUGAUCACUAUCCAUUCAUAAGAAAAUUAAGGUCUGAUGCAAUAAGUCCUUCUUUACUCUGCUGCAAAUUAAGGGACAGAAUAUAAGAUCAAAGUUGAAUCUUUGUUUUAGUAAAUUGCAGGUGAAUAAACCACAAAACAUAUGACACUCAAAUCUGCAGUGGCAAAGAAAAUUAUUUUCGAAGAAGAAAAAGGUGGUAUGAAUUGAACUAAUCUCAAUUAAGGAACAAAAUAUAAGAUCAGAGCUGAGUCUCUGUUUUAAUAACAUGCAGGUCACUGAAGCACAAAACUUAUGACACUCAAAUCUGCAGUGACGGAGCGUGUUAUUUUCAAAAGAAGAAAAAGGUGGUGAAUUUGCCUGAAGAAAACAUAACUAAUCUCACCUCCGAAACUUGGAUUUUGAUUUGCAGAGCUUGCAUACAAACCACACUUCAGGUUACAACCACAAUUCCAUACUAUUGAUAGCAAAGAUGCUUAUCAUCCACAUAAGAGGACUUUUUUCAAAGUACAAAACUGCAAAAUACUAAGAAUCUAACUAUAUGACUGAAAUGCAAUAAACACAUUAUACAUACGCUUGGCCAAAUUGGGUGAGCGCACCAUUGCUAACUUGUCGGAAACCAAUACACGGAAAUGAGACAAAGCUGCAAAAUACUAAGAAUCUAAUUAUAUGACUGAAAUGCAAUAAACACAUUAUACAUACGCUUGGCCAAAUUGGGUGAGCGCACCAUUGCUAACAUGUUGGAAACCAAUGUAGGAAUUAAUUCAGCUCCAUUUAUUACACAUUACCUUGAGUGAAACAUCAGCUGCAUAAAGAUCUAGGAUAGAACAAAAAAAAGAGAGAAAGUAGAUUGAAUUAAAUACCUGAGAUCACCACGUCCGCGAGCCACAAAUUACGGGAACAGUUGGACAGGCACACAAGGGCAUGUAUUUCAGAUGUUGUAAUAACGGUCCACUCAAAAUACCAAAAGCAUAGUGUCCUGCAAAAUGCAAAUCGAUUACAAAAUAUGCUCUUGAGUGGUGUCAUAUUUACUUUUCCAUGUGUGAACAGUUCCAGUUGUAUGCAGCUAAGCUCUGAACCUAAAGCCCAAGUACUAAACUAAUCCAGUCAAAGUUGGAGUAAAACCACACCACUACCUUGUCUCACCACCCUAGCCUGUAGAUAAUAAUUCAAUGAAACUAAUUUACUGGAUGAAGCAUCACAUAUUUGCAAAUAAUUCCAUACGUUAAAUUAAACAGCCUCUGAGACUAUUGUUUGUAAGUUACAAGAAAAGAACAAGUCUGAAGCAUGGUCAGCAAUAUCCAAGUGAACUUGCUAAGAACCAUUUUUUGAAUGGGGAAUAAAGCUAAACCUUUUUUUUGGAUGGGGGGGGGGGGGGGGGGGGGGGGGCAAUCUUCUGCUCCUCGACAACAUUAUGGUUGGCUGUUGCUUCACUCUUGACCAGAGGAGAGAGGGAAGGCGCGGCGGGAGGCGUGGUCGGGCGGCGGCCUGCAGCAGAUGAUUAAACGAGCAGGGAGAGAGGGAGGAGCAGAUGGAAGGAGCAAGAGGGAGGGAGAGGGAGCCGCAGAUGGAAGGAGCAAGAGGGAGGGAGAGAGGGAGGAGCAGAGGGAAGGAGCAAGAGGGAGAGAGGCGGGGGGUUUGGCCCUCUCCAUCUCUUCUCCUCCGAUCUAAGCUCUCCUCUUCUUUCCUCCUCGCGAGAAGGGCGACAACAGGGGAAGGAGGCGUCGGCGGGGGAAAGGAGGUGGCGCUGGGGGCGGAGGGGGAGGUAGGACUCCGGCGACUGCAGCCUCCGUUGAUGGGGCCUUGGCGGAGACGGCGACGGCGAGGAGGGGAAGGGAACGGGAAGAAGUCGGGUUGAGAGAUCCGGGGACACGAGGCCACGAGGGGGAGGCGGGGGAGGACAGAAGGGCUUGACGAACGCCGAAAACAAAUAAUGCCAAUUUCCGUAAUUUUCUCUCCUUCCAGUCCUACUCCUCCUCCUCCACCUUACGACCGAUGUCACCUCGCCCGCAUGAGUCCAUGCCCGAGCCUCCCCUCCAUCCCAUUAUUAUCUAUUAAAUUGGAGUGGGUGGUGAUUGGUACGGACGCGGUAGGUCAACUUUGUUAAAAUUACAACAAAUAUGCCAUUUUACGUUAUUUUCUCUACUUCCCGUCUUAUUCACCAUUCCUCCUCCACCUUACGACCGACGCCACCGUGCCGGCGUGAGCCCAUGCCCGAGCCUCCCCCUCCACCCCCAGCCCAAUUUCUCCUUCUCCGUCCUACAACCGAUGCCAAUCGACGUCACAGCACUCCGAGCAAAACCAUCACAUCGCCGCCCGCUUCACCUGUUCUCCCACCACCUCCACCGCCAGACUCGUGGGAGACGGCCGACCUUGACGGCGCCAUGAGUUGCUUGCUCCAUUCUGCCCGCCGCGUCAACUCCUCACUAGACCUCGCAACCCGGUGCAGGCGCAUGACCGCAUCCCCCAGCGCCCUAAGCGUCCCGACCUUCCUAGCCUUCGCCAACCACCUGCGCACCCUCUUGCAGCUGAUUCCAGCCACCGGGUUCCGUAGCAAUGCACGGGCACACCUACUAGUAGAUAUAGACUUUCUAGAGCUUCUAUCUUUUUUGUGGUUUUUCUGUCAUGUACUUUUGGUAUAUAAUAGAUACGGGAUGAUUUUUAUGCUCCUGAUUAAUAUAUUCUUACCCUUGCAAAAAAAAAAAUACUACCUCCGUUUCAUAAUUGUUCUCUCAAAUUUGCUAAAAAUAAAUGUAUCUAUUCUUAAAAAAAUGUCUAGAUACAUGUAAUAUUUCGACAAGAAUUAUGAAACGGAGAGAGUAUCAUUUUUCUUAACUGGAGGUGUUGAAUAGAUGCACUAUCACAUUAUCUGAACAAAUGAAAUAUACUUGUCAGAAAUUAACAUCACUCGCUGCCAACACCAACAGAAAGGCCAGGAAGAUUGUAAAUAAUUAUAACAAUCAGAUUACAACUAGAUACUGAUGUUGAUCAUGCCCCAGCACUAUAUAUAUCUGCGAGCUCCGCCAGAACGGAUAGGCUGCUGACCUUUUGAGUUGAAAUACAGAAUGUGCAAGAGUAUAUUAAAGCACCAAGUGCAAAUGUAGAUGACCAGAGUAACGAAUCUAUACCAAUAUAUUAAAUUAGAGUUGUUGGCGAUGUUACACAGUCGCAAUACGUCCGCCCUCCCCGAUCGCUGUGCUUCUUUGCCGAAGUGUUUUUUUCCCUUCUCCCCAGCCCGCGUCUCGCUCUCCACACAACCGCUGUCGCCGCCCUCCCUCACUGCAGAUGCAGCCGACGCUGCCCUCUCCUUCCCCUGCGCGCUCCGCCGCCGCCCUCCUACCCUGUGCGCGCAGCCUCCUCCCUAUGUCCCUCCCUGACUUCCCUACCUAUGCUUCCGUCGGAUUUCGGCAGCGCGCGUGGCAACGAGAGGUGGAGCGAGCAGGGCGAGCGGUGCACUACUGGGCAGAAUCGAGCUAGGCGACGAUGGCGAGGAAAUCCUCCUCGCGGCAGGGAAGCGGAGGCCGCCAGCCUGGCCGAAUCCGAACUCCUCCGCCGUGGGAACCGGGAAACAAACUCCCGGACCCCUUGUAACACUAGCCCAGGAAUGCUAAUGUACAUGCGAAAUGUAUCUCAUUGCACGACAGUUCAAAAGUUAAUAUAAAGUUUGAAUAGUAAAAUGCCCUUCGGCUUAUAUAAAGCAAUGUCUUGGGGCAUUAUUAUUACAAGUCUGAAAUAGCAGCGGAAAACAAUAAACGACGCGUGGUGCCUCCAUCUCAGCCACAGGCAGUCGAUGUAGCACACGAGGCCUCACUCCUCAGGUUCACCGUAGUAGUCGUCGUCAACGUCUUCUUCUUCAUAGUACUCUGUACAACAACGACAACAACAAACCAUCGCCAUGAGUACAGUACGUACUCAGCGUGCCGCCUCUGGGAACCCUGAUAACUGCAUGUUGGCUUCAAAGAAAGGCUAUAUGGUUCUUUUGCAUAAAAGCGGUUUUGUUUGAAAUACAACUAUACUUUUGAUGAAGGCGGUUUUGAUAAAAACAAGUUUAUCUCAAAAGCAUUAUCCAACAACGUGAGGAUCCUCGACCACUCACCCAAAUCCUCAGUUCCAGCAAGAAGUUAGAGAGGGAGGAAGGAAGGGAAAGAAGACAGGUCUCGUAUGUCAAGAAAGAAUCAUGUGCCGUCCAUGACCGUGGACACGGCUAUUCGAAUAGUUUUACACUCUGCAGAGGUUGUACGCUGUACCCACACGACAUGAUCUCGCCUUGUGCCUAACCAAUUGCGCUACUGGUGAACACACCCCUCAGUGUAUCGACAGCGAGACCAUGACGAGGUCUUUUAGCUACCUCCCCCAAAGAUGUGACGAGCCCACCGGGUCUGGUGCACGGAAUGAGAGUAUGUCCCCAUCUCCGGUCCCCCCAUCUGUGCCGAGGGUUCUCCCAUCUCAGGUGACACCCCAUUUGCGGUACGGCAUCAUCGGCACCUAAGGCUGACUAGCUUACUUGACCAAGCCAGAGCCCAUAUAGCAUGUGGUCGCACUGUUGUCACAAUCUUCAGAUUCAAGACUUAUUAGGCCUCAUCCGCUAUGGGCGGCUAAUUGCUCCCACACAGGCUAACAAUUGCUCCUUCAACCAAUGAUCCAGCUGCCACCCGCACCAGUUGUAUGGUAAGUUUCACCCAGAGUAGGUAGAGAGAGUAGAAGGGGAUUCCAAGAAGAGGGAACAACAUCCAGCUCAACGAGCUCAACAACUUUCAACAAUGUAUCAUCGAUCCAAAGAUCACAUAGAAUCCUGGAAGAGGCAAAAGAGUGAUUCCUAAUGAAUAAUAUGAGCAAGGCUAAGCAUUUCUACUCUACAAGAAUACUAUAUAAACUACUCCAGGUAUCAAAGGAAUGGUGACAAGCAGAUCAUGGCCAAGUGUCAAUCGACACACUAGCUACAAGAAAUAAGUAGCAUGCAUGUUUAUAAAACAAUAAAAUAACUAACUAAUGCCCAUUUGAAAACAUAGGAUAAAUAUGAUCAAAGAGAGGGGGGGCAUGCCUUCGUUGUCGGGGUACUGUUCUUCUCCUUCGUGGCCCUGGUUGUGGUCGUUCCCGUCACUCCCUAUUCGUCGUAAAAAUAAAUCGCCACCAAAUAAAUAAACAACUCCAAUAAAGAAUCCAAAAGAAGAGUCUGAAAGAAAGCGAGAUAAACACAUGAACCAAUUUGGAAUGAAUAGGGUGAUACACGGAGUGUGUCUCUGAGUCGUGCAAUAGCAAGAGAGUGUGGAACUAGAGAGUUCUUUAUGCUGGCCUCCUAGUGUCCUUAACCAUAGUAUAUAUAAUGAUACCCUCCCAUAUAACCUUAAUACACAAGCUUGUAUGCUCCAACUUAAACUAAGCACUCAAGAGUACAGCAAGCAUGAUCUUACCCUAAGGAAAAGAGAGUAGAACAGCUACUGCUCUAAGCAUGUGAAGCAUCCAACAAUUUAAACACUAGUUUCUUUCUCAGCUAAGCAAGAUGCAAACAGUAUGCAAAACUCAAUAAUUGACACACAGCUCUAAGCAUGGAAGAACAGGGUUUCUCUAAUAUAAUUUAAACAGCAGAAAGAUGAUUUUGAAGCUACAAACACAAUUAUGCCUUUCUAGCACAAGCACUAGUAUAGCAGAAUCUAUAUGGCAAACUGGGCAAGCAUGUAACUAAAAGAAUAACAACACUGCAUUUCUACUACCACAGGAGGUACAGUGACAUGUAUCAGAUUGAGUAGAGUAGAGUAAAACUGAAUUUGCUAGCACCAAAGCACAUACAACCUGCUAACUGUAUUAGUCACUGAAAAGCUCAUGUAUGUGAAACAACAACAGUGCAGCAACUGAACAAUUAUGCAUGCUAGAUGAAACAGUGCAUCAACUAAACAAUUAGUCAACAAUUAGUUGAUAUACAGCAGGGAGAGAGACAAAAUAUACGACCGAACUAAUCCUCAAUAUGGUAUUCGCUGCAUAGGAGAUAAACUGAGACUGUACAACCACUGUAACAGAUUCACAAACAGCCGUAUACAUCCGCUGGAUAUGAAGGAAAAAUCCAUACAUACAUGUAGAAAUUCAUGCUAAUGAAACAAAUCAGCUUGCAGCUUCUAACCUGAUAUGUGCUACUGAACUAGAAACAUUAGUAUGCUGAAACCUACAGUGAAGUAUCUACCAACUACACAAAUCUGAAACUUGAUGGUAAAUAAUUACAGAAUAUGCACUGAUGGAAGCAUUGAGCAAUAGCAAAACAGUUAGACCAAAUUAGGAAUAAACUACAUGUGCAGGUGCUCCACCAUACAAUCUGAACUUCAUGCUGUAGGUACAGACUGAAGAAAAAAAAGAAAGAGAGGAUGCCAUGAAUAUAAUAACAGCUGUUCCAAAUUGAAAAAAAAAACUACUGCUAAACACACCUGCAGAUUUAGAGCUGCCAAUAAUCUUGGUGAACAAAACAAGUACUGCUACACAAGGGCCCUAAGUGCUUCUGUAGCCUAUCCUAAACAGGUCCAGGGACUAAACCUUCUAAACUAACCCAGUCGCUGACUACAAAAGAAGAGACGUGAGUUCAGGUGUAGGUGUUCGCCGGAGAUAGAAUAAUCGUGUGUGUAGGGUGACGACAAAAAUGAAACGGGAGCACUGCAGCGAUCCAGAGGACGGUGAUUACCUGUCCAGCGACAGACAGAAGGACUGGCAUCGACGGUGCCCUAGGUUGUGGCAGGAUCUGCUUGUAGAGGGGAGGAGAAAAGAACUAGCUGCAGGGGGAGAGGAGAUUUAAAUAGGGGGGAAUGCAGGGGAUUGAAGUAGAGCCCUUGAUUGGGGAAAAACGGAAGGGGCAGGGGCGGAGUCAUGGCGCCUGGAGUGAUUGCGGUGGCGUUACUGUGCGUGGAGUGGAGGAGGAAGAAGAAGCGUUCAGUUUGCAGUGGUCGUUGGGGAAAAAGAAAAUGGAAAGGGGCAAGGCCCAGGAAAGAGGAAAGGAAAAAAAAAAGAGAGAUGGGCUAGAGGAUUUCAGCCCAUAGUGCAAGAGUUGAGCUUUAAUUUGCAUAAUUCCCAAAAUCAAUUCCAAUGAAAAUUUGAAUUCAAACUGAAGGCAAAAAUCUAAGAAAACGAGUUUGCAUCUCCAGUUAGACAUGAUGAAACUGAAAAAAUUAAUUCAAAGCCCAAAAGACAAAGUAGGGUAUUAAGGAAUCAUAUUUCCACCUUUUUUUUAUGCCAAAUUAAUUCCCAAACACUUUUGGGAUUAAUUUCUGCAACUCCAACCAAAGUACUUUAUUUACAUAGAGUAUGAUGUAACAUCCCUUGCUUAUGAAAAAGAUAAAAAAAAUUGACUCUGUUACAUCCGCCGCGUGCUCCAUGAGCGCCCCGAACGCCGGCUGGCAGAGGUAGCUCACGGGCACCACGAACCGCCGUGCCUCCGCGCCCACGUACACCGCGAAGUACCCCCUCGGCACCGCCGCCGCCGCCUCGUCGGUGCCGUCGAGCAGCGCCGCCCGCUCCGCCGCCUUGCUGCUCCUCCCGCCGACCAGCUGCCUCGGCGCCCGAAGGUUCAGGUACAAUGGCUGGCUCUAGCAAGCUUCUCUCCCGGUCGAUUGAUUGAUAGAUCGAGAGAGUUCGAGACCAGUUAAUUAAUAUUGCACCUCCUCUGAAUCUCUGAUCCUCCUCCUCUAAUCGAAGCCCGAGAAAAUAAUGGCGAUCUCUUCGUCGCGGGCUUGGCGAGAAGGAAGGGAUUAAGAGGAGGAUUUGGAGAGGAGAGAUCAAAGCAUGUGAGGUCUGGGGCUCUUUGGCAGCAGGUGAGGCUGCACAGCUGGGGGCUGGGGCGAGGACAAGGGAGGCGGGAGUCGCUUGCUCGCCUUCUCUUCUCUUGUUCUUUGGAGCAAAUUUUUGUUUUUUACACAGCUGGAGCCUUGUAGAGACUAUUGUUGAAAUUUCGAAGAAAUUAGGAAUAGCGUAUCUCGAUUACGAAAGGUGAUUUAGGAUAAUCUUGCUAUACAUCUUCGUCCUUAUUGUUUCUGUUGACGAUGGAAUCCGGACGAGCAUUUAGCCACCGCCAGAAUGUUAGGAAUUAAUCUUGUCCAAGUCCGAAUGAUAGUAGAUUUGGGUUUUGGCAAGUGCUGCCAUGUGUGAGUUUAGGUGAGUUUGAAUUGGACACUAGUCUGUGUAGGUUUGGUCAUGGUCUCUGACUAGGAUUAGUACUUGUGUGCGUAUAAAUACGCAGGUAGUCAGCGUAGGUUGAGAUCAAGUUUGUAACGUGAGUUCUAAGUUCAAGGAAUAAAGAAAGAAAAAAGAGGGCACGAUACGCGCCCUUGGUCAAAUAAUUGUGUGAUCGUUUGGCUUGUGCGUCUUCAUGUGAUUGAUCUUUGGGCCAACCCAACAUUUGGUAUCAGAGCGAGGUUCAAGAUUUGAAGACGCACUUGCCCUGGGGAGGCGAUGUGCUAGCGCCUCAGGGCAGGCAACGGCGGCAGAAAGGCGUCCGUGGAUCAAGACUGGCAAACGGUGGCAGUGCACGAAGAGACGUUCAGCAGAUCAGAUAGGACUAUCGUCACAGUAAACCGAUCCCCUAGUAACGGGAGAUCAUCCUGAUCGUCGGAAAGUACUCGACAUCGGGUCAAGCUGCGUAUGUACAUCCACGUCAGCGUCUGUGAGUCGUGGUUGUGUCCAAGUGCUUCUCUAUGUGGGACUAUGUUGCAGUGGAGGUGCGUCACGGUCGAAGGGCUGUUCAGUGAGGUGUAUCACUGAGGGCGAAGACGUGCGUGCAGACAAGGUGGCGGGUGUCAUCUGUGUGUCUCAGCGAGAAGACGGAAGCUCAAGUGUAUAGUGGGCGGCGUACCAGUGAAGGUGAGUCUCUUCAAUGAGGACAUGUCUCUACGUGGAGUUAUGAGUUUAGCUAGCACGUAUUGCGCUAGGUGUGGACGAUGUAGUCCAUGCGGGAGCUAGCGUGACUGGGAGUCUGGAUCAUACGUUGAGCGAGCCGACGAGUCGUGAAGCUGCGGUGAGUCAAGAUCAGGGGAGCACGAAAGGCGGAGUCAAAAUUAAGGGGAGAUUGUUAUGAAUUAAUCUUGUCCAAGUCCGAAUGGUAGUAGGUUUGGGUUUUGGCAAGUGCUGCCAUGUGUGAGUUUAGGUGAGUUUGAAUUGGACACUAGUACGUGUAGCUUUGGUCAUGGUCUCUGACUAGGAUUAGUACUUGUGUGUGUAUAAAUACGCAGGUAGUCAGCCUAGGUUGAGAUCAAAUUUGUAACGUGAGUUCUAAGUUCAAGGAAUAAAGAAAAAAAAAAGAGGACACGAUACGCGUCCUUGCCAAAUAAUUGUGUGAUCGUUUGGCGUGUGCCUCUUCAUGUGAUUGAUUUUUGGUCAAACCCAACACAGAACAGGCCAGGGAUCAUUAACUACGCCGGCUACUGUAGGAUCGACCUGGCUAUCAAUGACACACGGUAACACAAUAUGUUUUGUGUUACAGAAUAAACAGUAUUGGUAAACAAUUAAUAUGGAGUCAAUGGUUUCUGUUCAUAGUGUCCUUCAACGAGAUUUGGAGCCAUUUUAUGUUGGCUAGGAUGAUCUGGUUCCAUAUUUAUCUUGUUUUAUUUUGCUGCCGGAUCAUUGAAUCAAUAUAUUAGCUAGCUGUACUAGCUGUUCCUUAAGCAGUUAUUCUGUUUCAGAAUACCUUUUUUUUUCCUUUUCUGAAGAAGCAUGGUCCAUGGAUGAUGGUCCAGGAAUCCAUCUUUCGAGGAUGGAGAAAAAUAGUACCUUUUAAAUUCACCGACCAGGCCGUAGAGAUUUGAUACUAAUGAGACAUUUUUGUUUAAAGACAGUGCAUAAAUAGGUACUAUAGUACUUUUGGUUCCUGAUUUUUUACAGGAAAUCAUAUUUGAAAGUUUCAAAAAAAUCUGAAUCCUUUUUGUGUAUGUAUACACAAACCUACAUAUUUUCAUCAAGAAAUAUGUUGAUUUGUGAUCUGUGAAAAAAAAAACACAAAUCUGUGGAUCUAGAUGGUAAACGGGUUCACGAGGCUCUGCCUGCCGCCGUCACCGUGUUCAACAAAAGUAGAGGUAAGCAAUGUGGUGCUGGGCCAGAUUUGCAUGUUGUUACUUGUUACUGCCGUUCGAUUUUAGGUCCCUUUACUGUGUCCAGCAACAGUAGGAGAGCAUAGAGGAUAGGAAUAAUGAGUUCAGAGCUUAUUUGGUCCCAAGUAAUUUGUAUGGCUAUUUCUUUGAUGCCAACCAAUUCUGAAGUUUUACAAGCAUGUCUCUGGACCAGUAUGCACUCAUCUCAUUGUGUUUUUGUAAAAAAAAAAACACGCAACUAUGGACUCUUUUGCAUGAUCAAAUUAUGUCCAAUAUCUCAGGUAAAGCUUUGCUAGAGCUGAAAUAUUUGUGGUUCUUUCAUAGUUGCAGUACUGAAUAUAUGUCAUGUGAAAUAUUUUUCAUGCUUCAAUUCUAAGGCAAGAUGUCUGUCCAUUUGAAGUUAUUGUCCACCAGUGACGAUGUUGAGUGUAAGCUUCUAUCCCGUGAUCUUAGUGUGCAUCAAAUCUAUAUUAUGCAAAGUCUAUGUUCACAAUUUCAGCAGGUACUAUCUCGUCUUCUCCGAGAGUAGAGCACAGAAACAAAGGGUGUCUGGUGGCCGUCAGAUGGGAGCAUGAAGAGAGAAGCAUGUUAGUAGGUUUUGUUGUCUUAUGAUAGAGUAGAGUAUGGAGACAAAAUCUACCGAAGAUUUUCUUUUUAAAAGAGAUGUUUGGUGGUCGGUGGUUGUCAAAGAAGAUCAAAGAGAAGUUUGACGCAUGUCUUCGAAUGUGCGGAGUAUCUUUUAUUUUGUUGUACCGUUGCAACGCACGGACAUUUCUGCUAGUACAUAUGUUAAUUACGAGGAACCCGGAUGGUACCGUAGUAUGCAAUGUUGUAGGAUACGUAAAUAAGUAAAAUAGAGAUAAGCAAUCAAUCGAUACAACAUACAACUAAGGAGAUCGUGACCCUCUAACUAAGUCACUGGAUAUGUAGCAAGCACCAAGAGUCGAAACUCGAAAGCAAUUUCCUCACACCAUAACUGCAGAUGCCCUACAUGAAAUGGUCACCAUCGCACGUGAACAUAUGUGAAAUCAUCUUCCGAGCGUAAAGCGUGGCAAGUAUCACAAACCGGAGCAGAAUCUUCUUAGCAUAUAUACAUUUCACCGACAAAGUAUAAACACAGGCGUCAUAUCUCUUCCAUGGCAAAAUAACCGAGAGAUGAGAUUCUACGUUACAGACAAAUGAAAUCUGUUGAGACGGUCCACGUCUUUCCUGCGUGUUCUCGCAUCACUGAUGUCUGUUUCUAAGCAUAUAUCGGUUGCUACAACGUUUUUCUAGAUUCUCUAUGGCUUUUUUUAGAGACAGAGAGAGGGAGAUAUCAGUUUCUCUAUGGCCUGAUUUCCACUCACCAAAGUAGGAAAAAACCCAAACUACCAAACAGAUUUUUUGUGUCCUCAACUUAAUUAUUUAUUGAUGGCUAAUACUCAGCUACCUCAUAUAUGAAAUCACAUGCUCAUGGUUAUAUGAUGCAUAGAAUACAUUUAUGUGUUUUAAGAAAACUGGCGAUUAUCAAUGGAAUACAAUAUAUCUUGUAUGAAUAUUGGAAAGACUGCCCGGGCACAUUGAUAAUCGGAAGGAGUUAGGUCAUUGAUUAUAUUAUAGCCCUAAUGUCGACCUACAUGAUUAGUGGAAUUUAAACAUGAUCAUGGCGCAUUGCUCACAAAUGCUUGUUCUAGGGACCGACAGUUAGAGUCCCUAACGGAUGAAUUAUACCGUGGUUGGUAGUUUAAUCUGGACUCUAUCUGAAAACUAGUUUAAAUUUCAUGAUUUAAAACUAAGACUCUUAUCUGUAUAUGCAGUAUAAGAAGGUCCUUACCCCCUAACCUCAGAUUGCGGAAUUGUGAGCGGCACAAUGAAAAAACGCAGAGGAAUAAUAUGGGGUAGACCACCCAAAAUUUCCAACAGGCCCCACGUGUCAGCCACAACACCGUACGUCAGGGGAUCCUCCUCCAUUUUCUUCGACGGACACAGCAAUCUCCGUCUUUUUAGCAAGUGUAUCGUCUGAUGCCACAAUACAUGUACAUCAGACCAGACACCACGGGCAAACAACAAAAAUCAUUAGAAACCUGAGCAAUUUCCACAAAAUAAUAGACGACAUUAUAUUAGGGGCUACAUUCUUUUGUAAUCCAAAGUCGACCAAUACUCUCAUAACCACACCAAUGUUCUAAUGUCUGUCCAAAGCACUUUUGCAACACAACAAUGAAACAACAAAUGAACGGCUGAUCCAGGUUCAGCACAAAGAAGGCAGCUAGUAUCUGGAGCAUUUUGUCGUUUAACAUGAACCCGAAGUAAGUAAAAUGAACAACAAAUUAUCUCUAGUAAAGCAACUUGUUAUGAGUUACCAGCCAAAGUAACACAUGAACCCCUUCUCGUCAAACAACAUGUACAUGAACCCUAAUAUGGAGAGCAAUGUAAACAGGGGUAACUCCCUUGAAAAUUUAUUAUAGCAUACAGAGGAGCAGUGUAUAAACUAUCCUCUUCCUCCGUUAAAAACAAAGAAGAAACAAUAUGAACUGAUUAGAUAAAUUAAGGUGUGUAUUCAUUGUUUUUUCUCGUCGCGACUCGACAGAGUUAGUAAAGGCUAUGGUGUCAACGCGAUUUACCAAUGCGCAGUGGACAUACCCCCUUCCAAAAAUAUAAGGAUGAACUUGAUGAUUGAGGAACCAAGGAAAAUUUAUCCCCACAAUGGCGCCGAAGUCUUGCAUAAAUUUUACUCCCGAGUACAUUUUUCACUUGUAAUGUAGCAUUGAGUAGAGGUCAAUUAAAAAGCAAUUUGGCAACGACCAACGAGGACAUAAGGAUGUAUGAUCAGGGCUCAAGGAUCAACUUGUCCUUAUUUUUUUUGGAUUUCUCAUAUUAGGAUUUAUCCUUAUAUAUUUUAAGGUAGGAGUAUGUACUCGUUGAGAAACUAAUAUAUACAAUGCCUAAACUAAGACAAAGUUCACCCACCAACAUCUACAACAAACACUCUAGUAGUUAGAUCUUGAAAAACAAAACACAUGCAAGAACAAAAAAAACUACCAAACUGGAUAUUACUCGCUGUAGUUAACAAAGGUACAAACGCAUUAGCAACCUUGAGCAAUUGACCUCGACUCACAUCACGGAGAUCACAACGGCAGAGCUGGAUCAACUUUCCAGAUAGCUGCCACAAGUGCAAUGCUCUGUAAAAUAUGUCAAAACUCCGUUCCAACUCACAUCACAAGGUCCUUUGUAUAUCAUUCCAACUCCGUUCCCUUGCCUCCCCAAGUUCCCGACACAAAUGCACGAUUUCAAAGCUUCUAGCUGCCAUCCGGGCUUCCAUAACAGUGGCCAUAUGGUCUUACUGGCAAUAAGAGAGAGAGCCAUAAACAUCUGCCUUAUGGUCUUUGUCCUCAAAGGACAUUCAUCUACAAGGGAGAAGAAGUACAUAUUUGCAUGUUGCAGCUAAUAUAUUCCCAGUGCCACCUACUCCUACACUAAUCUAAAGGCAUGAGCUAGUCUCUUUCAAGAGCGGUCGAUGCGUGGAAGACAUAAUUCUAUUUCAUGAUCUCUCACAUAUGAGUGUCCCUGAUAUGUUUUCCUGAAUAUAUAGUGAUGUGCAUGCGUAUGAAUAGUUAGUAAUGUGGAGGACGGCUUGGUGUUGGUCCCAUGGAUCUUAUUGUUUCCGUUCAAUAUAUGGUGGAUGGAAAGUACAAAAAGAGUAAUAAACAUAAAAGGAUAUGGAGUGUACAUGUGGUAAUAUAUGUAGGACUAGAGGCCUGGGAGCUCCUCCCCUUUUCGGAAAAAAAUAUAACCACUGGAGCUCUCAUUUUUUUUUCCUUACAUGUACUUUCUCUGUUUCAUAAAAAAUGUCGCCCACUUAGUACAAAAUUUGUACUAAUUUAGUGCAAAAUGGACGACAUUUUUUAUGAAUAGGAGGGAGUAGUAUGAAAUCAGUAAAAUGAACUGUUCCGUCCUAGUGAGUAUUACAGUUCUUAUACUUUAAUGUAUACCAAUCACUAGUCAAAAGCUCGUGCGUUGCUACGAAGAAUAAAUAAGAAUACAAAAAAUAAUGUAAACUAUCGCAGCAUCAUGAAAACACGAAGAAUCUUCCUUCUCUUUUUAUACUUCCAUUUCCUCCCUUGGUUUGAAUGUCGCUUUGCUUCACAAGACAUGCUACUCAGUUUUUUUUAUAUGGUUCCUUCGGUAAGCUGAGGAUUUUCUCUAUCCCACUCGAUUGUAGGCAUGUCCUCACCCUCGUAUUCAUCGGGAACCAACAUGUCAUUGUUCUCCUCUUUGUCUUCAUCGUCAGUGUCAUCAAAUCUAGCAGCAGGGGUGGGUUCCUCCUCGUAUUCAUCUUGCAUCGCUUGUUGGCUGAAUUGUCCACCAAUUCAGGAAACAUCGUCUCAUCCUCAUCAUCUCUUCGAGCGACUGCCACGUCAGGCUGUGCGUCGUCAUCUAUGUCGAUUCCAGUACUGGUUUGGUUUUCGCUACAUGUAGGUUUACAGGGUCUGGACCUAAGAGGAGUUUGUGGGCGUUGAGUAUUAGCAGAGUUAACUGAAUCCCUAACUGUAAUGCUGCCCCCAUCUCCCAAUUGCUUCUACCAUUCUUUGCGGGGCUGUAGCACAUCGAUUUGAAUUUUACCGAAACGGGAGACAGCAUUCAAACCAAAUAGAACUCCGAGAUGUUCAUCGCAAGUUAGAGGCUCAAAUCUUUGCUCGGCAGUGUUGAAAUAUCUGAAGUCAACUGCAUCUUCCUGGCUCUAGGGAUAUGCAGAAUAUAGCGAAUUCCAAAAAUCAUCGAAUGAUGUGAGACUCUCUACCACCUUUGGAUAGCAAAGUUUGGACAGUAGAUGCGCUUUAGUUCCACGCAAAAUUCUAGUUUCCAUAAAAACUGCAACGUCUCCACGCAAAAAUUAUGGAAUGAUGUGCUAGUCUCUACCGGUGCAGAUUCUGGUCACCAUCGUCUCCGGACUCCUCACCACCACCUGCAGCAAGAGGCAUCGGGAUCCUCGGCGACGGCAGCCACAUCCUCAGCUUCCGCGUCAUCGACAGCGAGCAACGUCUCCACAAUUAUAACUCCUCGUCACCUCCGUCGUGACCUACUGGCGGGCUUUUGUAAUUGCUUCAUGAAGACGAUGUUAUGCAACUUAGAAGAACCUGCGCACUUCUACAGGUAUUGUAUUCAGUCAUUCUAAAGGUUUAUCUUCUAGAGCGUUUUGCUCCACUAUUAAUAUACUUCCAUAUGUAUGCUUGGCGCUUUCCGUUAGUGGUUGAUCCCAAAUGGUCCAUCAGCAUUGCGUGGCCUCUCUGAAUCAUCAUAAGCAUUCAGUUAUGUCUAUUAGAGAUGGACUGGAAAUGGAGAGCAUUCUCUGAACAUUUAAUCUCUUAUGUUUAUUUGCUUUUCCAUGGUUGUUUUUGUAGGGGUUGGUGUAUGUAGACUCUUUAGACAAAGAGCAUAUUGAGGCAGCCAUUAAAAAGAACAAGAAGAAGUAAGAAAGUAAGUAUUGAUCACUCAGAUCCAACCAAAUCGGCAUCUAACGAUGAUGGUGUGACAUUGUUCAGAUAUCCAGUUUUGGAAUAAGAACAGGUCCAUGAAAGGUCUAUCGGCAAAAUUCGUGGUUCUGAGAUUCAUAUGUCAGCUGCUUAUUUUUCUUUACCUGCUUGACAAUGAUACUUCAAUGAUGAUCCUUUCUAGCUUAUUUUAUGGAUAUGACUCCUCUUUUAAAUACUCCCUCCGAUUCAAAAUUGUUGUCGAAAUAUUACAUGUAUCUAGACGCUUUUUAAGAAUAGAUACAUCCAUAUUUGGGCAAAUUUGAGUCAAGAAUUUAGGAUUAGAGUGAGUACUAAAUUUACUGUUAUCUUAUUUGUGCCCCAUGUAAUACAGCCAGUGUUAUAUUAGGUAUUAUGUUAUAUCGAAAUAUACAUAAUUCCAGAAAUUUUUAGGUAACCAAAUUUAUAGACAUGGAUGCUUGGUGGAUACGUUAAUUGGAGUCGAGCAAUCGCAACUCACAUAUAUAAUUAACUGGUGGAUUCUGAGAUUCUAUUGUACUAUUUUUCAAUUAGUGUUUACCCUGAAAGAGCGAGCUGCAAAAAUUAUUUUUGUAGUCAUAUCACUUUUUUGUGUUAUGAGACUGUCAAGCAAGAGUUUACUUAUGAUUUCUAGCAUCAUCUAAGUCUGUUAUGAUCUUUUCAGGUUGUAGUGGUAACAAGUGAUUUACCUCUUUGAUAUUAAACUGAAUUGUAAUUCUUUCGAACUGGCAAUGAAACUAAAUUGUAAUUCUUCUGAACUGACACAGUGCCAUGUAAACAAAAUAAAUCAGCAGUUGGAAUUGAAAAUCCUCAGCUUCAGUUACUUCUGGAGUAACAGUGUGCACCUUUUUCUUCUUUCAAUUCUUCUGAGUAGGUUGCAAGAACAUUACAGUUUAGUUUCUAUGUCAUAUCUUCAAUCUAAAAAACUAAGCUUCUUACGGCUCUCUAAAUUACCUCCGCACUAUGAUGCACAUUUUCUUGCAUCAACAGUGCCUCGUGUUCCUGUUUAUGUGAACAACUCGUAAGCAUAACAGUUAAUAUUGUAGGAUACAUCACUGCCAUUCCAUGGUUCUUAAAACUAGGAUUACUCACUCGGUUAUGCGGACCUCUUUUAGGAUUAACACCUAGAACUAGACGUCUUGCAGUUCUCUAGAUGGUUUUAUAGCAUUAAUCUUGUGCUUUCUCUUGUACCAACUGCCGUCAUUACUUUUAUACUUCACAGUUGCUCUGAUUUGAUAUUAGCAUUAAAGAGUUUGGUCAGACAUUACUUGCACACUAUGUCACUUAACUCUCGUCUCUUUUGUUUAUCUUUUGAGAUUUUUUAUGGUAUCCCGGAAUUAAUAUGAGCCAUCCAUUCUCUGCGAUCUAAUGGCUAAUAUCGUGUGGUACUCCGUCACAAGUCUUCAGAGUACCAUCUAAAAAAUAUACGGAGUAUCAUGGAGUGAAGGCCAAAACUGUAAUCGUACAGAUUCUUCUUCUUUCUUAAUGACCUCAUGAUCAGAUUUGGGAAGUCGAUGGCCUCAGGAAAGAUUGCAUUGGAGAUGCCGCCGGGCGCCGGCACACCAAGGUAAUCUCCGAUUGUGAAAUCUGCUACACCGUAUUAGAAAUCCAUAUCUGUAAUCCCCGUCCACGUUCCCGCCGCACCAAGAUUGGGGAGCCGGCUUGCCGUGGAGGCGCUGUAGGACAGAACUCGAUCGAUCUUACCAGAAUCAUGAACGGUGAAAAUAGAACCUAGCACAAUCAACUCGCAUGGUAGCCUUAUGAUUGAUCUUACUAAAAUCGUUAUCAGGAAAAAUUGAACCUACGGCACAAUCAUUGGAUUCGAUUUGCAAUUCACAUCUUAAACUGAACAACGAUUAGAGCAACCAUGAGUAACGCCGCCGGCCGCAGAUCAUUGGAUGAUCUGGUCCGGACUCCGGAGUGAUUUUGCCGGAUGAAGCACGAACGUGAACUCAGAAAACCUACUUGAACACGAAGCACACAAAACAGAAGCAGACGGGUAUAACGGUAGACGGCGGUGCGCGGCCGCGGGGACAAAACGGCAACAGAGUCGCAACAGCCAGAUCGAUUGGGAAGACACUUCAAAAGUCCAAAACACCCCGCUGAUACGGACGGUUGGAUUGUUUGGUACUCCUUUCUGCAUAUUGGAGUACUAGGGUACUAAAAAAAGCCUUUAUCUUUUUCGUCUAUCAAUUAUAUCUAACCUUUUACGCUCAAUGUUUUGUUGUUUUCUUUUUCAUUUUACAUGCAGGUGCCUCCCUGCAUCUGCAUGUCUUACGACUGCAGAUGUUUGGAACAAUUGCAACUGUCGUUCUCUGGUGUUGCGCUACACAGGUGUAAAUGAUGUUGCUUACAUAUAGCACUACUGUAGAACCAAAGACCACGUAAAACCUGUUGUUCACGGUAGCACUACUCAUCCAUGUUUUUUGCUGUCUUAUGUAAUCAAGUGUACCGAGAAAGUAUGUAAACUGUCUUCUGUAAUCAUGUGCACCGAGAAAGUAUGUAAAUUGUUCCGAUUUGUACAAUUUUUUGUUGCCUGUUUUGUAGCGGUAGCAAGUCUCUGCCCUGUCAGUCUUGCUUAUCACUGGAGUUGAGAUCGCCUGUAUGGCUGUAUCAUAUGCAAUGCCUCUUUAGCUGAAGAAGAAUUUUGGUUAAGAUUCCAUGGCCAUAGCUAAACAACAAAAAAAAAACAUGGCAUCUUAGAAAGGAUACACUGCGUAACGCGGAGGUGCUGACUCCGGGGCUAUCUAGCCCCAUAUUUCUAGCCACAUGUUUCAUCUCAGGCCCACCAAAUUAAUUUAUUUUGUCCUAUACUACAGAGAGAUUAGCAGCAAACUAGUACUUGUGGCAGGCACGUGUUUUUUACUGACAACUCUUUAUUUUUGUUUGGUUCUCUCUCGUUCUCUGCAUCUCUGUCCCAUUUUCAAGUACAUUGUGGUACACGUUUUUAAGUACAUAUUUAGUGCAUUAUGGUAAAUAAACGGUACCUUAUCAGUUUUCAAAUAUCUUGUAUACAUGAGCUUACGAGACGAGUACAUUGUAUGGUACAUCACAUGUACAUUAUCACUUUUAAGUACCUCACGUAGAUGGAUUUAUGAGACGACUACAUCGUAUGGUGCAUCACAUUUAUUCAGAAAAAAUCAUAGUACAUGACAGAUACAUGACAAGUACAUCAACACACAUCACAAAUACAUAAGACACAUCAGAGACACAUGAAGGUACAUAACAAGUACAUCAAAACAAAUUCGAGACACAUGAAUGUACAUUACAAGUACAUGAAGACACAUCAGAGACACAUGAAGGUAUAUGACAAGUACAUCGAGGCACAUGAUACUGCUAAAAAAUCACAACACACAUUCAAAAAGAAAUCAUGAGAUCCAAAAGCAAGAUCACAGUACAAGAUUCAAAAAGAUCCAAAAGCACACGCAUCCGGUACAGUCGGCGGCCCGGCACCCGGAUCCAGCAGAUCGCCUCGUCCACGAGCAUGGCCAGCGACGGCUCAGGGCGAAGUGGUGGGGGCGGCGGAGGCGGCGGUGCGGAGAGGUGGGGGCGGCGGCGGAGGCGGCGGCACGAAGAGUUGGGGGCGGCGCGGCGGAGGCUGACCUGUGGCGGAGGCGGCGCGAAGAGAUGAGGGCGAGCUGGGGCUGGGAGAGAGAGAGAGAUGCGCGAGAGAGGGAAGAGGGCGGGGUCGAGGCUGUGGGCUCAGGCGCUGUGCAUCGUGGAGUGCUGGCGCGGGGCGGCUGGUGGGGCGGAUCGAGACGCGGCGGCACGCUGGCGGAGUUGAAGAAGAUAGAAUAGGUCGGGGAGAGAAGGAGAAACAGUGAGGAAGAAAAGAAAGAGGGGCGGCUAGGGAGAAGAUAAAACCGAGGGGGGAGAGGUGGCUUAUUAGCAAAGCAGUGUCAGGAGAUUAAGAAAAGCGGGGACAGAUGUGUGGUGAAGAAGGUGGGGCUAAAUAGAGGGAGUGACCGAGAGGCAUAUCCUGGGUUUGUUUUGACAGUAAAAACAUUUUUACAAAUUAGACAGCACAUCUCGCCCCAGUCAGGCUUCAGGCGGCGCGGCGUUCAAAAGAACUAUAAGCGAUGGAAAAAAAA